UUCAUAGUUGACAGGAUCUGGCUUCAGGUAUGUCUUGUUAAAGUGGUCUUACAUUUGUUGAAUUUCCAUACACACGGUAUCUGUUAAAUGGGUAUUUGUUCAUUUAGCAGCCUUUACAAUACUGUGAUACAAACCAGAGUCUUCUGUAUGUCUACUUUUGUAUGGUGUGCACUAAGAAAUAUUGUACAUGGAUUGAUUCUAAGUGUAUGGUCUUCUUUCUGAAUAUUCCGUGUUAGCUGCAAUUGACCAUUGGUACUACAUAAGACAUUGAAAAUCACCUGAUCUUGUUCGAUUGGGUUGGCCAGGGGGGUUCAUUAUUAGCUCAACCGUGCCCGUGCAGGCAUAACCAAUUACAAUUGUUGGGUGGAUAUGAUAUUCAGUUGAAUGAGAACGAACUUCAUGGUCAAAUUAGUUUGUUAUCAGAAGUGGUGGCUUCUUAGUGAUCAAUUUUAUUGACAAACAUUAGAUUUAGAAAUGUGCUUUAAGAAUGGCUGGUUCAUUUAGAAAACUACUCCCUCUGUAAAGUAGCUGACAUGUGAUAAGUGUGAAAAGGCGGUAUAUUUGCCUAUAACAUGUUCUAGCAUCAUCUUAUGAAUAAGCAUACAUUGUUAGCAGUAAUGAAAUGGAAACGUUUCAUUGUGAGCUAUUGCUAUUAUGUGCCUAUAAGCCUGCAGGAUGACUUCAAUUCUCUGACCUGGCUAGGCAAAAUGACUGGGUUUCGCUAGAUCGCCCAUAAGGAAAAAGAGGCAGUAGGAAUUUAUGCGCUCCAUUAGUAGAACUAUUAUCCAACUAGUAGAACUGUUAAGCAUUUACUAUUACAUGACCAGAAGGGUUUGUUGAACCUGCAAAUCUGGAAAAUCGGUAUUGGAGAACCAAUUAGUAGAAGAAAUUAGGGUGAAUGAUCGUGUGCGUCUCUCAGACCCACACCUCUUAUUUACAGUGCUAAGAUUACAUACUUGAUUAGACUUGGACUCAAACUAGAUUAGGAAUUCAGACACCCCCUUUCAAGAUGGGCCGAAGAUAUCGAUUUGUCCCAUCUUGUUAUACUAUAGUAGCACCCUUGGGUUGUGUACUGGAACCAGAUGUAUUUAAAGAGUACCGUUAUUGGCAAAGGACUUACAGUUCGAAAAGAGAAGAUCGAGUGUACAAGGAAAUUGGGCAAGUGGUGUGGUGACAAGGUAAUCAACCUCAGGGUACUAACAUCUUCGUGGAAAAUAUCUUGUGAUAUGGAGUUGUACCGACCAAUUGUAGCUCGGUCUACUACACAUGCGGAACAUAGAGCAAUUGAAUUGAGGCUGUCUGAAAAAUGGUCGCUCUACUGUCAGCUUUCAGUGCUGGGGAAUGACUCCUUGGCAAUGCAUUGUGAUUGCAAGCCUAUAGGUUUUUCAUCUAGGAGAGACUGACCAGUAGGGUGCUAAAUUGGAAUAUGUCUCCCCUAAAAUUGUUUUUUGGAAUAUGUCUCGAGUAGGUGAGCAGUUGCCUGACUAUUAAACCAAAAGGGUAGGUUCCUUAGAGAACACUUGAGUUGUGACACUAUAUGUCUAAGAUCGGCCGGUGAUGUCGGCCUACUGCAUCCUCUAGAAUUUUUUCUGCAGUCACGCUGCUCCGGAAAAUUAAACCGACCACUGUUUGGGUUAUGCAACUGAACUUGCUUGCUAAUCAAAAGCCAGGGUGGACUUGGUGCUGGAAGGGAAAUCAUUAUAGGUUCAAAUAAGGUUAGCGUGUCUGUAUUCCUUGGAUUGUUCCGAGUUCAGGGCUAUGGGCGCACUUUCUUACCUUUGCAUCGUACGUUGGUUUGGUACAGCAAGAAGACGUUUUUAGGGAAAUUGGAACUUUCAAAUUACUUUUGGUUGGGGUGCGCCUGCCUGGGCUAUAGUGCAACGCCCAGGCGACACCCAAGGGCCCCAAUGGCAAGCCACUGUGGUGGACCCUCCCUCACAAAAAAUAAAUUUAAUAUCAUUGUGGGCAUAUGGCCCACAUAUCAGAUAUUAAACUGAUAAGAACAGAUACUACACUUGAUCUUAGCCAAAAGGCCGAGAAAGGUAUGAGUUGUAGUGUCCCUCUCCCCCUCCUCUUAUAGCUUUGUCCACCGUCUCUCCGCUCUCGACCAGCGAGGUGGUACUAAACCAAAGAACGAACGGAGAAAGCCCAUGCUGCACUCGGGCAAACGGCCCUAUGCGCCCCUCGUUCGUUUGGGCUUCAUCUGGCCCGGUAAGAACACCACGGCAGCAAUGCUUCUACGGCCCAGUAUUAAACAUCCCGUGGCAGAUUGCCGUUGGGCCAGCCCAUUUAGUGAAUAAAGAACGUGCACUGGACGCCAGUUUUGGCGACCUUUUUCCUGUCCGGUUUUGGCAACCUUCCAGAAGGUUCCUGAACCCUUUUUUACUGGUUUUAUUUUAGUUUUUAAAUUAAUUUCUUCCUUUUUUUACCUUUACUCUUUUUCCUCUUUCUUUUUUCUUUUAUUUUCAUUUUCUCUUUACUUUGACGAAUUUAUGUUUCUUUUUUCUAAAAAAUGUGUUUGGAAUUUCUAAAUUUCUUACAAUUUUCAAAAUUUGUUCAGAAAUUCAAAAAAUGUUUGUCGUAUUCGAAAAAUGUUUCCUUUUAAAAAACUGCUCACAAUUUUAAAAAAAUCGCAAUUUCAUAAUUUGUUACAAAAUUUAAAAAUUGAUCCCGAUUUUCAAAAAUUGUUCAUAAAUUCAAAAAGAGUUUGAGAAUUCAAAAAAAAUGAUCUACUUUCCAAAAUUUGCUCAACAAUUCAAAAAAUGUUCAGCAAUUAAAGAAAUGUUCGGGAUGUAACAAUUUGUUCAGAAUUUCCAAAAAAAAUUGUUUUUUAAAAUUUGUUUACAAAUUUAAAAAAUGUUCGGGAAUUUGAAAAAAUGUUCACGGUUUCAAAAAUUGUGUCGUGUUCCAACAUUGCAUGCACGCACUCGACUAAUUCACGGGGCACCUCAAGAACAAGCAGAACCCAUAGCCGCCAUGCUCCCGUGGUACGUGGCGGCACCCUGGCGGCACCGAAGGGAUCUGUGUGCUCCUCGAAGGCAGGCCCAUGGCUAUCACCGGGCCUAGAUAUGGCGGCGAGGGCAUGGCAACGAGAAGACAAGAAAAAUCACCAUCAUCAUGUUUGAAGUAGGGGUUUCAUUAAACUUAUGAAGACCAUAGGUGCCAUAACUCAGUGAUGACAUAAUCCUUGCAAACAUUAUAUUUAGAAAAUCUACAACUAAAAAAAGAUUCAUAAAAUCUACUUUGAGAAUGGCUUCUUAUUUAGAGAACUACUUGACGUGUGAUAAAUGUGAAGAGGCAGUAUAUUUGUUCAGGUCAUCUUUUAGCAAAUCUCUAUCCUAAAAGUCCAAAACCUUCUUCCUAUCUCAUUUCCCUAAAGUAGAUCCCCUAUUCCAAUUUUUUUUGCCAUUUUUCAAAACAUUUGCUAGAACAAUUGAAACAAAUGCACCAUAUUUAAAAACAAACAUAGACAAUUCAAAUGGACCACAUCGUAAUUCAACUACAAGCAUAAAAAAAGUUCAUCCAAUCCAUCAAAGAGAACCACAUGAACAUGUCUCCCUCGCACGGAUCAAACCGUCUUGUCUUUCCCGCAUGGUUCUUGGCGGAUACCCUCCCGGAUCCGUCCUGGUGGGUUGCUCCGGAUCUGCAGCCUGUAGCGCGCCGGCUUACGAGACACGCAAGGAUGCAUGUUGCGCGUCUUCGCGGGGCUGUCCAGCCGUGGUGAAUUCUUCGAGGCGUGUGUGGUGGUUGUAAUACCCUCGAUGCGACUAUAUCUCCCACGUGUCGAGGCACGACUUAGAGGCAUAAUCGCAUUGAAAGCAUAUGUCGCAAGUUAGACAAUCUUCACAACAUCCCAUGUAAUAUAAGAAUAAAAUGGGAGAUAAUAUAGUUGGCUUAUACUCGUCACGUCAAUCAAGUACAUAAAUAACAUUACAUCAACCAAACACUCAUGGCCCGACUACGGCGCCAAAAUAAAAGAUAACCCAACAUGCGACACGGUCCCAAUCACCCCCAACUGGGCACCACUACUGAUCAUCAGGAAAAGAAACAUAGUAACGUUGAGAGUCUUCGUCGAACUCCCACUUGAGCUCAAGCGCGUCACCUGGAGCGGUAUCAUCGGGCCCUGCAUCUGGUGUAAUAGUAAUCUAUGAGCCACAGGGACUCAGCAAUCUCGCACCCUCGCGAUCAAGACUAUUUAAGCUUAUAGGUAAGGCAAGGUAAAUAUAAGUGGAGCUGCAGCAAGCGACUAGCAAAAUAUGGUGGCUAACUUAUUCGCAAAAGAGAGCGAGAAGAGGAGGCAAAGCGCGAGCGAGAAACUAGAGAACAACCUGCGCAAACAUUACUCCAACACCGUGUCCACUUUCCGGACUCCGCCGAGAAGAGGCCAUCACGGUAACACACUCAGUUGAUUCAUUUUAAUUAAGUUAAGGUUCAAGUUAUCUACAACCGAACAUUAAUAAAUUCCCAUCUGCCCGUAAUCGCGGGCACGGCUUUCGAAAGUUCAAAUCCCUGCAGGGGAGUCCUAACUUAGCCCAUGACAAGCUCUCACGGUCAACGAAGGAAUAGACCUCCUCCAAGACGUUCCGAUCAGACUCGGUAUCUCGGUACUUCAAGACAACUCCGACAAUGGUAAAACAAGUCCAGCAACACCCCCCGCUGUGCCAACAAAUCCCGAUAGGAGCUGCACAUAUCUCGUUCUCAUGGCACACCGGAUAAGCUAAGCGUACGGGAGCCAACGUAACCCAAGUUGCCAAGGGACGGCCCCGCACGGUGCUCUAGGUUGGACCAACACUCAGAGGAGCACUGGCCCAGGGGGGUUAAAAUAAGAUGACCCUUGAGUCCGCGAAACCCAAGGGAAAAGGCUAGGUGGCAAAUGGUAAAACCAAGGUUGGGCAUUGCUGGAGGAGUUUUAUUCAAAAUGGACUGUCAAGGGGUUCCCAUUAUAACCCAACCGCGUAAGGAACGCAAAAUCCGGGAACAUAACACCGAUAUGAUGGAAACUAGGGCGGCAAGAGUGGAACAAAACACUAGGCGAGAGGCCGAGCCUUCCACCCUUUACCAAGUAUAUAGAUGCAUUAAGAUAACAUGGCAAUAUAAUGAUAUCCCAACAAGUAAAUAAAAGUUCCAACAAGGAACGGCCUCCAAUCUUCACCUGCAACUAGCAACGCUAUAAGAGGGGCUGAGCAAAGCGGUAACAUGGCCAAUCAACGGUUUGCUAGGACAUGGUGGGUUAGAGAUUUGACAUGGCAAUUGGGAGGCUUGAAAGCAAGUGGUAGGCAUCGAAGCAUUGGCAUAGCAAAAGAGCGAGCAAUCUAGCAUAGCAAAGAUAGUAGUGAUUUCGAGGGUAUGAUCAUCUUGCCUGCAAAGUUGCCAGAGUUGACUGGAUCCUCGAAAGCAAACUCAACGGGCUCCUCGUUAGCGAACUCGUCUCCCGGCUCUACCCAAACAAUAUAAAUAAGCAACAAGGACACAAUCAACCACGUGCAAGAUCUCAAACAAUAUGAUGCAAUGAUGAUAUGCUAUGCGGGAUGCGAUGCGGGAUGCAUAUGCAAGAUGUGACAGGAAAUGCAAGAACCUGGCCUCAACUUGGAAAUCCAAGUGUGCCACUGGAAAGAUGAGAUGAAAUCGCUUGAAAACGAUAUAAAGAUCAUCGGAAUCGGAGUUACGGCUUGGAAAUGGCAAGCGAUUCAAAUAUGACACCGGUCUGCGAUUUACAGCAAGUAGCCAUCUAAAUGCAAAGAGAUGAACAUGCUACAGCACCCAAACAUGACAACAAAAAACAUGGCAGGGAUGCAUUCAAGAUGCUUAACAAAAGUCUAGCACUAAACUACGGCCAAUUCAUCCAUUAACAGGUUCAAACAAGUAUGGCAAAAAUGCAUAUGGCAAACAGAUUUCAGACCUAGUGAAAUUAACACUUGUCUGGAAUUUCAGAUCAGGUAGCACUCUUCGGAGCAGCAAAACUACAUGCUACAGGACCUGAACAUGGCAAGGUAAAGCAUGGCAUGGAGCUACUCAAAGAGCUUAACAAAAGUCCCUUAGGGACCUUGAGCCAAAAGUGAUCAGAAAAUACAAUUACAAGCAUGUGAACAUAGCAAAAAACAUAAUCAGUUUUCAGACCUAGAGAAAACUGGAACAUGCUGAAAACAGAUAUCAAGUAGGCAUGUUUACGAGCUCGAUGCACUCACUACGGUGCAAGUCAUGACAAACUAAGCAUACACCCACCAAGAAGGCACAAAAUUUAAGCUAGACAUGGCAAGAACAAUAGCAUAAAAUGCACGUCUCAACUAUAACAUCAUCAGCAAAAUUGCAAACAAGUUGACAAUCUGCCCAGAUUCACAAAGUAGCAAAAGUAGAGCUCGAUUGACUCAAGCUAGGGUGCUCCAUAAUUUCAAACAAAGACAUGGAUGGAUAGAGCAUUACAAGAUUAACAAAACAUCCUUACUGGUCAUCCUCAAAAGAGGCACGGAUCACUAAACAACAUGAACAUAUGGCCAUAUGAGAUAAACAGCUCAAGGACUUAGUGGAAUUGCUAAGUCCCUGAAAACAAAAUUAACAAAUGCACCACUUCGCAAGCUUGUGCUAGUCACCACACACAUCACAAAAAUACAUGGGUUGCACCUCUGGAAAGAUGGCAAAACCCUUAACAAAACAUAUAUAGAACUCAUGGGCAUAGCAUGCACACAAUAAUCAUGGCAAAAAUGACAAAAAUUUAAACGGAGCAGCAGAUCUGACAAUUAUCUCAAGUAGCCCUCUUCUAACAGCAUUUCGGGCAUCACGAUGAACUCAAAUGAAAAUGAUGCAAUGGAAUGAAAUGAUGUACUCUCUGAGAUGAACAUUUUGAUAUACUAUAUGCAUGAAUCGGAGCUACGGGUGCAAAGUUACGAGGCUAUAAACAUGGGCACAUGGAUCUGAAAAUUCCGAGGACUUAGUAGAAAAAUCAACCUCCGGGAAAAGUGGAUCUCGCGGAUCGGGACGGAGCGGUGCGGGGACGGGCGAGGGCGUUUGGAUCGGGAACCGGUGGAUCUGGUCCCGAUCCGGAUCCGGCCGAAAUCUCGCCGGAGUUCGCCGGGGAGGUGACCGGAGAUGGUGGUGGAGACGGCCGGCGAGCGAGGCAAGCGGGGCGGCGGCCGGAGCCACGCAGGGCGGCGGCGCGGCGAGCACCGGGCGGCGAGGUGGGCCGCGGCGGCCGNNNNNNNNNNNNNNNNNNNNNNNNNNNNNNNNNNNNNNNNNNNNNNNNNNNNNNNNNNNNNNNNNNNNNNNNNNNNNNNNNNNNNNNNNNNNNNNNNNNNNNNNNNNNNNNNNNNNNNNNNNNNNNNNNNNNNNNNNNNNNNNNNNNNNNNNNNNNNNNNNNNNNNNNNNNNNNNNNNNNNNNNNNNNNNNNNNNNNNNNNNNNNNNNNNNNNNNNNNNNNNNNNNNNNNNNNNNNNNNNNNNNNNNNNNNNNNNNNNNNNNNNNNNNNNNNNNNNNNNNNNNNNNNNNNNNNNNNNNNNNNNNNNNNNNNNNNNNNNNNNNNNNNNNNNNNNNNNNNNNNNNNNNNNNNNNNNNNNNNNNNNNNNNNNNNNNNNNNNNNNNNNNNNNNNNNNNNNNNNNNNNNNNNNNNNNNNNNNNNNNNNNNNNNNNNNNNNNNNNNCGGCGCUGGGCCUGGCGGGCCCGCGCGGGUGGCGGCGCGGCGAAGUGGGGCGCUGCCACGUGGCGGCUCCCGGUUGGGGCGGACAAUGUCCGGCCGCGCGGAGAUGAUUUUUUUAGGGUUUCGGGGAGGGGAUCCGAGAUUUUCGAGGAGGACCUAUUUAUAGGCAUAGAGGGAGCUAGGAGAGUCCAAAUAAGGUGCGGUUUUCGGCCACACGAUCAUGAUCGAACGCUCUAGAUGAUGGAGAAGGCUUAGGUGGGUUUUGGGCCAAAAUGGAGGGGUGUUGGGCUGCAACACACGAGGCCUUUUCGGUUCCUCGGUUAACCGUUGGAGUAUCAAACGAAGUCCAAAUGAUACGAAACUUGACAGGCGGUCUACCGGUAGUAAACCAAGGCCGCUUGGCAAGUCUCGGUCCAAUCUGGAAAUGUUUAAUCCCCACACACGAAAGAAAGGUAGAAAUGACCACCGGAGGAGAACGAAGCGCCGGAAUGCAAAACGGACAACGGGGAAAAUGCUCGAAUGCUUGAGAUGAACACGUAUGCAAAUGCAAUGCACAUGAUGACAUGAUAUGAGAUGCAUGACAACGAUAACAACACACGGAGAAAAAACCCGAACCCGAGAAAAUAAAAUAACUUAACGCCGAAAUGGCAAGAGUUGGAGUACAAAUUGGAAAAGUUACAUCCGGGGUGUUACAACACUCCACCACUACGAAAGGAUCUCGUCCUGAGAUCUAGGACUGAAAGAACAUCGGGUACUUAGAACAGAGGUGAUCCUCGCGUUCCCAGGUAGCUUCACGGUCGGAAUGGUGUGACCACUUGACUUUGAGAAAUUUGAUUGACUUAUUGCGAGUCUUGCGUUCAGUCUCUUCAAGAAUAGCAACUGGGUGCUCACGAUAAGAGAGAUCUUCUUGAAGCUCAAUGUCCUCGAAGUUGACGGUGUGUUCAGGAGUCUUGAAGCACUUUCGGAGCUGAGAGGCAUGGAACACGUCAUGAACAUUUGCAAAGUUUGAAGGAAGCUCGAGUUGAUAGGCGAGGUCGCCUCUCUUGCUGACAAUCUUGAAAGGUCCCACGUAUCUGGGGGCAAGCUUCCCUUUAAUACCGAAGCGACGAGUACCUUUCAUAGGAGAGAUGCGGAGGUAAACAUGAUCUCCGAUCUCGAAAGCCAAAUCACGGUGCUUACUAUCAUAGUAGCUCUUCUGACGGAAUUGGGCUGCUUUGAGGUUAUCACGAAUGACUUUGCACAUUUCCUCUACCUCUGUGAUUAAGUCAUUACCCAAAAGCUGACGUUCACCGGUUUCAGACCAGUUGAAAGGGGUACGACACUUCCUGCCAUACAGAAUUUCAAAAGGGGCCUUGCUCGAACUUGCUUGAAAACUGUUGUUGUAGGAGAAUUCAGCAUAAGGAAGACAAUCCUCCCACUUCAUGCCGAAGGAGAUCACACAAGCCCUGAGCAUAUCUUCAAGAAUUUGGUUGACACGCUCGACUUGACCGCUAGUUUGAGGAUGGAAAGUUGUGCUGAAGCGGAUGUUGGUGCCCAUGGCCUUCUAAAAAGAAUCCCAAAACUUUGAGGUAAAGAUGUUGCCACGGUCUAAAGAGAUCACUUGUGGAAUACCGUGCAGAGAGACAAUACGAGAGGUAUAGAGUUCCGCCAAUUGAGCUGCAGUGAUCGACUCUUUGAUAGGCAGAAAGUGAGCCACUUUGGUGAGUUUGUCGAUGACAACGAAUAUAGCAUCAUUGCCACGCUUGAACUUUGGAAACCCAGUCACGAAGUCCAUUUCAAUGUGGUCAAACUUCCAUUCUGGAAUGGCAAGAGGUUGGAGGAGACCUGCUGGCCUUUGGUGUUCUGCCUUCACUCUUCUGCAGACAUCACAUUCAUUCACGAAUUGAGCAAUCUCGCGCUUCAUUCGAGUCCACCAGUAAGCCUGCUUAAGGUCCUGAUACAUCUUCGUGCUGCCAGGGUGGAUGGAGAGGAGAGAAUUGUGAGCCUCGUUCAUGAUCACUUUACGGAGGUCACCUUUGGGUACAACAAUACGAUCCUCGAAGAAGAGAGUAUCCUUGUCAUCAAGGCGGUAGCACUUGUACUUGGGUUGACUCUUGGCAAUCCCAAUCUUCACCUUUUUCACCAUAGCAUCAAGAAGUUGGGCUUGGCGAAUCUGGUCUUCCAAGGUAGGGGAGACUUGAAGGUUGGCGAGGAAACCUUGAGGAACAACUUGCAGGUUAAGUUUACGGAAAGCUUCACAAAGCUCGGGUUGAUAAGGCUUGAGAAUAAGACUGUUGCAGUAAGCCUUUCUGCUCAAUGCGUCAGCAAUCACAUUGUCCUUGCCUGGAGUAUACUCGAUACUCGGAUUAUACUCUUGAAUCAUUUCGACCCAUCGAGUUUGCCUGAGGUUGAGAUUAGGCUGAGUGAAGAUGUACUUGAGACUCUUGUGAUCAGUAAAAAUGUCCACUUUUCUUCCCAAUAGAAGAUGUCUCCAAGUCAAAAGAGCAUGCACAACUGCCGCUAACUCGAGAUCAUGAGUGGGGUAGUUCUUCUCAUUAGGCUUCAACUGGCGAGAAGGAUAAGCAACAACUUUCUUCUCUUGCAUCAAUACUGCGCCAAGACCUUGGAGAGAGGCAUCACAAAAGACCUCGUACGGCUUGGAUUCAUCAGGCGGAGUCAAAACUGGAGCAGUGAUCAAUUUCUCUUUCAAAGUGUUGAAAGCAACAUCACACUCCGGAGACCAAACGUACUUGACGUGCUUCUGGAGAAGAUUUGAGAGAGGCUUCGCGAUCUUAGAAAAGUUUUCAACGAAUCUUCGGCAAUAGCUUGCGAGACCGAGGAAGCUACGGAGUUGCUUCAUGUUCUGAGGAGGUUCCCAAUUCACAAUUGUAGACACCUUCUCAGGAUUCACGGCAAUGCCCUUGGCAGAGAUGAUAUGACCAAGGUAAAGAACCUCAUCGAGCCAAAAUUCACACUUGGAGAACUUGGCGUAGAACUGAUGUUCUCUGAGCUUAUCAAGAACCAAACGCAAGUGCUUGGCAUGAUCUUCCUUGUUCUUCGAGAAAACCAGAAUGUCGUCGAGAUAGACCAAAACGAAGUCAUUGGUGUAGGCGUUGAAGAUGAAGUUCAUCAUGCGAGAGAACGUCGGAGGAGCGUUGACGAGACCAAAAGACAUAACAGUGUAUUCAUAUGAACCAUAGCUUGUCCUGAAACCCGUCUUGGGAAUAUCUUGCUCACGGAUUCGAAUCUGAUGAUAGCACAUACGGAGAUCAAGCUUGGAGAAUACUUGGGCACCUUUGAGUUGUUCGAACAGCUCAUUGAUGUUGGGAAGUGGGUAUUUGUUCUUGAUGGUCUUCUUGUUCAAUGGACGGUAAUCAACACAAAGUCGGUCCGUUCCAUCCUUCUUCUUCACAAAAAGAACACCACAACCCCACGGAGAAGAACUAGGCCGGAUGAGACCCAUUUUCUCUUGAAUAUCGAGUUGCUUCUUCAGCUCCUUCAACUCUUCAGGUCCGAGCUUGUAAGGAUGUUUGCACACAGGUUCCGUGUCAGGCUCAAGAUCAAUAACGAAUUCAACUGGCCGGUGCGGAGGCAUUCCUGGAAGCUCUUCUAGAAAGACGUCUUGAUAUACGCAAACGACUGGAAUUUGAGAGAUGACAUCGAGUUCACCCUUCUCAUUGAGAGAAAACAGACGGAUAGUAUCGUCAUUCGCGGCAAAGACAAUUACAUCCUCAGACGAAUGAGUCAAUUGAAUCUGUCUGGCUGCACAAUCAAGCUGAGCCUUGUGCUUAGAAAGCCAAUCCAUUCCGAGAAUAAGAUCAAUAUUCGAGUUACCAAGAACCAUUGGAGAAGCCAGAAACUUGAAAUCACUCAUCAUGAUAGAAACAUCUGGGACUAUUGAAGUAGCCCUCAUAGACUUAGCCGGAGAAACCACUCCCAUAGGUUUACCCAACAUUUGUGAAACGAAGUCAUACUUGGAAACAAAUGAUCUUGACAUGAAACAAUGCGAUGCACCUGUGUCAAAAAGAACUUUUGCGGGAAUAGAGUUAACUGGAAAGUUACCCAUGAUGACAUCUGAUGAGUCCUCUGCCUGAGCUGCAUUCAGCAAGUUGACCUUGGCGUGCUUGGGGUUAUGCUUGACCACAGCUGUACUUGCCGAUCUGACAGGAGGAGGAGGAGGAAGACGCUUCUGGUUGAAACACUUGUUGGCAUAGUGACCCUUCUGUUGGCACUUGUUGCACGUGACCUCUGAAAGCGGACGGUGAUAUGGAGCACUCGAUCUUGGAGGUUGAGACGAAGUCUUGUUCUGAAAGCCAGGGUUGGGUGGGUGGGAAGAACCACUGCCACCUUUGCUCUUCUGCUGAUACGGCUGACGAAACGGAGGAGGAGGAAGCCAAUACUUCUACUGCUUGGCCACUUGAGUAGAGGAAGAAGGAGUAACAUCUCUGACUCGCUUCUUGGAAGCAUCACACCUCAACUGAGCAGCCUCUUGCUUCAAUGCCAUGUUGUAGAACUCAUCGUAUCUCAAGGGCUCAAAGAGAACAAGAGCGAGCUAAAUUUCUUCUCUGAGACCACCUCUGAACUGGUAUAUCAUGCUCUUCUCAUCAGGGACGUCCUGCUUGGCAAAGCGGGCGAGCUUCUGGAACAACUUGUUAUAGUCAUAGACAGACAAAGAGUCUUGCUUCAGGUUACGGAAUUCCUCACGCUUGCUUUCAACCACGCUCUGAGGGAUAUGAUGAGCUCGGAAAUCUUGACGGAAUUUAUUCCAAGUGAUAACACGUCCACCUCUGGAAUCCUUGUACUGCUGGAACCAUUCUGCAGCUUGAUCUUUGAGUUGGAAGGAAGCGAACUUAACAAAGUCCUCAGGCCUGACGUUACUGCACUCGAAAUGCUUGCACAGAUCCACUAGCCAAUCGUCAGCAUCGGUUGCCUCAACACAAUUGCUGAAAGUCUUUGGCCCGUUAGCAAGGAACUGGUUGAGUGUAGCAAAGUGAUUCUGAUUGUUGCCUUGAUUCCCUUGGUUGCCUUGAUUGCGCUCUUGAAGAAUUUGCAUGAUUAACUGUGUGUUUGCAUUGGUUGCGGCCAUCACAGCUUGUCAUGCCUCCGGAGGAGGUGGUGGUGAUGGCGGAUUAGGAUUCGGAGUCGUGCGCGUUGGAGGAGACAUCCUGAAGAGGUUGACAUCCAUUAGCACAUUGACAGACAAAUAUUGAAGCUGAAUCCAACGGAAUGAAAAUUGCAACAUAUAGUCUUCACAUCCGAACAAAAUGAACGAAUGCAUUCCUCUUGAAAUGGUCACAUAUCCAUAAAUUGAGAAGCCACGUAGAAUUAAGGUAGAGAAAUAAAUCAACAAGGUACGGAUCAGGAACGAAUAAUCGAUAAGAAAUUCCAAUCUCAAACCAAUAUCCGUGGAAGAAGAACUAAAGCUACAAGAAUUCCCACCUAUGAAACUCCCGAACCUUUCCGGUUAUGCAAUCAGGUGUUGGGGAUGCAGGGGAAGCAUAAUAUCUCACCCAAACUAGCAAAUCCUACAUCCAGCUGUAUCCAUCUUUCAACACAUAACCAAGAAACCUUCGGAAACCAUCUACCUCAAACUUCAAAAAGCAUCCGUUAUACAAGUUAUGGCGAUACUCCCAAACUCCCGCCCCAGUACUGGGUGGCGUCGAGGUUAUCUCACCAACGAACUGCAUAAAAGAGAUUUUCGAUGUCGGCGUACUAAACUCAGGUAUUCCAGAAUUGCAAUGAUAAAAUUAUGACGACAACACCUCAGAGCUCAACUCCCCGGGGCACUUCCACAAAACCCCUGACAGGAGGCACCAAGACAAUGUUCUCAUCAUAAAACCAUCGGAACGAUUCCAAGAUACCCGCGUGAUCCUAAAUUUUUUUUAGUGAAAUUUGAGAAGAGAAGAGUCAAAACUCUACGUCAGGAUGCCUUACCAGAGCGAUGAGGAGACUGGGAAGUAAAAAUAAUUCCUAAACUCUCCGAUAUAUAAUUCCUAAAUGACUCAAAACAUUUUUCUAGACACAACUCGACCGCUAAUAACGAUCAAGCAAUGGGGCUCCUAAGGUCGGGGAAGGCUCUGAUUACCAACUUGUAACACCCUCGAUGCGACUAUAUCUCCCACGUGUCGAGGCACGACUUAGAGGCAUAAUCGCAUUGAAAGCAUAUGUCGCAAGUUAGACAAUCUUCACAAUAUCCCAUGUAAUAUGAGAAUAAAAGGGGAGAUAAUAUAGUUGGCUUACACUCGCCACGUCAAUCAAGUACAUAAAUAAUAUUACAUCAACCAAACACUCAUGGCCCGACUACGGCGCCAAAAUAAAAGAUAACCCAACAUGCGACACGGUCCCAAUCACCCCCAACUGGGCACCACUACUGAUCAUCAGGAAAAGAAACAUAGUAACGUUGAGAGUCUUCGUCGAACUCCCACUUGAGCUCAAGCGCGUCACCUGGAGCGGUAUCAUCGGGCCCUGCAUCUGGUGUAAUAGUAAUCUGUGAGCCACAGGGACUCCGCAAUCUCGCACCCUCGCGAUCAAGACUAUUUAAGCUUAUAGGUAAGGCAAGGUAAAUAUAAGUGGAGCUGCAGCAAGCGACUAGCAAAAUAUGGUGGCUAACUUAUUCGCAAAAGAGAGCGAGAAGAGGAGGCAAAGCGCGAGCGAGAAACUAGAGAACAACCUGCGCAAACAUUACUCCAACACCGUGUCCACUUCCCGAACUCCGCCGAGAAGAGGCCAUCACGGUAACACACUCAGUUGAGUCAUUUUAAUUAAGUUAAGGUUCAAGUUAUCUACAACCGGACAUUAAAAAUUCCCAUCUGCCCAUAACCGCGGGCACGGCUUUCGAAAGUUCAAAUCCCUGCAGGGGAGUCCCAACUUAGCCCAUGACAAGCUCUCACGGUCAAUGAAGGAAUAGACCUCCUCCCAAGACGUUCCGAUCAGACUCGGUAUCUCGGUACUUCAAGACAACUCCGACAAUGGUAAAACAAGUCCAGCAACACCCCCCGCUGUGCCGACAAAUCCCGAUAGGAGCUGCACAUAUCUCAUUUUCAGGGCACACCGGAUAAGCUAAGCGUACGGGAGCCAACGUAACCCAAGUUGCCAAGGGACGGCCCCGCACGGUGCUCUAGGUUGGACCAACACUCAGAGGAUCACUGGCCCAGGGGGGGGGUUAAAAUAAGAUGACCCUUGAGUCCGCGAAACCCAAGGGAAAAGGCUAGGUGGCAAAUGGUAAAACCAAGGUUGGGCAUUGCUGGAAGAGUUUUAUUCAAAACGGACUGUCAAGGGGUUCCCAUUAAAACCCAACCGCGUAAGGAACGCAAAAUCCGGGAACAUAACACCGAUAUGACGGAAACUAGGGCGGUAAGAGUGGAACAAAACACUAGGCGAGAGACCGAGCCUUCCACCCUUUACCAAGUAUAUAGAUGCAUUAAGAUAACAUGGCAAUAUAAUGAUAUCCCAACAAGUAAAUAAAAGUUCCAACAAGGAACGACCUCCAAUUUUCACCUGCAACUAGCAACACUAUAAGAGGGGAUGAGCAAAGCGGCAACAUGGCUAAUCAACGGUUUGCUAGGACAUGGUGGGUUAGAGGUUUGACAUAGCAAUUGGGAGGCUUGAAAGCAAGUGGUAGGCAUCGAAGCAUUGGCAUAGCAAAAGAGCGAGCAAUCUAGCAUAGCAAAGAUAGUAGUGAUUUCGAGGGUAUGAUCAUCUUGCCUGCAAAGUUGCCAGAGUUGAUUGGAUCCUCGAAAUCAAACUCAACGGGCUCCUUGUUAGCGAACUCGUCUCCCGGCUCUACCCAAACAAGACAAACAAGCAACAAGGACACAAUUAACCACGUGCAAGAUCUCAAACAAUAUGAUGCAAUGAUGAUAUGCUAUGCGGGAUGCAUAUGCAAGAUGUGACAGGAAAUGCAAGAACCUGGCCUCAACUUGGAAAUCCAAGUGUGCCACUGGAAAGAUGAGACGAAAUCGCUUGAAAACGAUAUAAAGAUCAUCGGAAUCGAAGUUACGGUUUGGAAAUGGCAAGCGAUUCAAAUAUGACACCGGUCUGCGAUUUACAGCAAGUAGCCAUCUAAAUGCAAAGAGAUGAACAUGCUACAGCACCCAAACAUGACAACAAAAAACAUGGCAGGGAUGCAUUCAAGAUGCUUAACAAAAGUCUAGCACUGAACUACGGCCAAUUCAUCCAUUAACAGGUUUAAACAAGCAUGGCAAAAUGCAUAUGGCAAACAAAUUUUAGACCUAGUGAAAUUAACACUUGUCUGGAAUUUCAGAUCAGGUAGCACUCUUCGGAGCAGCAAAACUACAUGCUACAGGACCUGAACAUGGCAAGGUAAAGCAUGGCAUUGAGCUACUCAAAGAGCUUAACAAAAGUCCCUUAGUGACCUUGAGCCAAAAGGGAUCAGAAAAUACAAUUACAAGCAUGUGAACAUAGCAAAAAACAUAAUCAGUUUUCAGACUUAGAGAAAACUGGAACAUGCUGAAAACAGAUAUCAAGUAGGCAUGUUUACGAGCUCGAUGCACUCACUACGGUGCAAGUCAUGACAAACUAAGCAUACACCCACCAAGAAGGCACAAAAUUAAAGCUAGACAUGGCAAGAACAAUAGCAUAGCAUACACGGAUCAACUAUAACAUCAUCGGCAAAAUUGCAAACAAGUUGACAAUCUACCCAGAUUCACAAAGUAGCAAAAGUAGAGCUCGAUUGACUCAAGCUAGGGUGCACCAUAAUUGCAAACAAAGACAUGGAUGGAUAGAGCACUACAAGAUUAACAAAACAUCCUUACUGAUCAUCCUCAAAAGAGGCACGGAUCACUAGGAAACAACAUGAACAUAUGGCCAUAUGAGAUAAACAGCUCAAGGACUUAGUGGAAUUGCUAAGUCCCUGAAAACAAAAUUAACAAGUGCACCACUUUGCAAGCUUGUGCUAGUCACCACACACAUCACAAAAAUACAUGGGUUGCACCUUUGAAAAGAUGGCAAAACCCUUAACAAAACAUAUGUAGAACUCAUGGGUAUAGCAUGCACACAAUAAUCAUGGCAAAAAUGACAAAAACCUAAACGGAGCAGCAGAUCUGACAAUUAUCUCAAGUAGCCCUCUUCUAACAGCAUUUCUGGCAUCAAGAUGAACUCAAAUGAAAAUGAUGCAAUGGAAUGAAAUGAUGUACUCUCUGAGAUGAACAUUUUGAUAUGCUAUAUGCAUGAAUCGGAGCUACGUAUGCAAAGUUACGAGGCUAUAAACAUGGGCACAUGGAUCUGAAAAUUCCGAGGACUUAGUAGAAAAAUCAACAUCCGGGAAAAGUGGAUCUCGCGGAUCGGGACGGAGCGGUGCGGGGACGGGCGAGGGCGUUUGGAUCGGGAACCGGUGGAUCUGGUCCCGAUCCGGAUCCGGCCGGAAUCUCGCCGGAGUUCGCCGGGGAGGUGACCGGAGAUGGUGGUGGAGACAGCCGGCGAGCGAGGCGAGCGGGGCGGCGGCCGAAGCCACGCAGGGCGGCGGCGCGGCGAGCACNNNNNNNNNNNNNNNNNNNNNNNNNNNNNNNNNNNNNNNNNNNNNNNNNNNNNNNNNNNNNNNNNNNNNNNNNNNNNNNNNNNNNNNNNNNNNNNNNNNNNNNNNNNNNNNNNNNNNNNNNNNNNNNNNNNNNNNNNNNNNNNNNNNNNNNNNNNNNNNNNNNNNNNNNNNNNNNNNNNNNNNNNNNNNNNNNNNNNNNNNNNNNNNNNNNNNNNNNNNNNNNNNNNNNNNNNNNNNNNNNNNNNNNNNNNNNNNNNNNNNNNNNNNNNNNNNNNNNNNNNNNNNNNGUUGGGGCGGCGGCGACGUCCGACGUGGGGCGGACAAUGUCCGGCCGUGCGGAGACGAUUUUUUUAGGGUUUCAGGGAGGGGGUCCGAGAUUUUCGAGGAGGACCUAUUUAUAGGCAUAGAGGGAGCUAGGAGAGUCCAAAUGAGGUGCGGUUUUCGGCCACACGAUCGUGAUUGAACGCUCUAGAUGAUGGAGAAGGCUUAGGUGGGUUUUGGGCCAAAAUGGAGGGGUGUUGGGCUGCAAAACACAUGAGGCCUUUUCGGUUCCUCGGUUAACCGUUGGAGUAUCAAACGAAGUCCAAAUGAUAUGAAACUUGACAGGCGGUCUACCGGUAGUAAACCAAGGCCGCUUGGCAAGUCUUGGUCCAAUCCGGAAAUGUUUAAUCCCCACACACGAAAGAAAGGUAGAAAUGACCACCGGAGGAGAAUGAAGCGCCGGAAUGCAAAACGGACAACGGGGAAAAUGCUCGAAUGCUUGAGAUGAACACGUAUGCAAAUGCAAUGCACAUGAUGACAUGAUAUGAGAUGCAUGACAACGAUAACAACACACGGAGACAAAGACCCGAACCCGAGAAAAUAAAAUAACGUAAUGCCGAAACGGCAAGAGUUGGAGUACAAAUUGGGAAAGUUACAUCCGGGGUGUUACAGUGGUGCAUCGCCCUCCUUUCGCUGCGUGGUCGUCCUCUUCGGAGCUCGCGGUUGUCUACUGCCAGCUCGGGCUAGGCCCGGUUCAAAUGAGGUGUUGUGUGGGCAGGAUGGAUGUAGUCGAAUUUGGACUGUGGUGCCAUAGAUCUGGAGAAGGGCGGCAGUGGGGUGCCAUGGCCCUUUAUGUGGUUCCGUCUUGAUCAGCAUGCCAUAAGAUGGAUUGUUCGGCUACAGCGAGAUGGACGGCGAAAUUGCUCGGAUUUUUGUCAGGCUGACGAUGACGACACCUUUGGGCGUCGCAUACCUUGUUGAAGGUGUUGUCGAUGUCGUUCUUGCCUACCUGACUGCUGGUCUGGGGAAACCCGAGAUCCAGGUGAUCUUGAAUCAUAAUGAUGACAUCAAUGAUGUUGUUUUUCUCUCUUGGGAGCAUUGUUUUGGAGCUGCAUCGGUUAGGGUACAGUGGAUGGUGGCAUGUACACAUUAUGGUGGACGCUUCCAUGUCUAAUCGGUGCCAUGUUUUGGGUGGUUGAGGCAUCGAGAUGGAGCGUGGCGGUGGGUGGCGGCAAUCCUUUGUUGAGACGCGAUGUUAAUCGCAAUUUAUGGGUCAUAGUCGCUGCUUUGGCAGGAUAGUGACAUCAUAAUCAUGCAAUUUCUUACUAACAAAAGUAAAGAAAGAACCUAGCAGUCAAUAUCAAAUCAUACAUCAUUCUCUCAAGCAAUUCCAAACCAAGAAAGCAAAAGGGAAAAGAAUACCUUGCGGGCAUGUCAUCAAGCACAUCGGCCUCGCCCAUGGUCUUGUUCGAAUCCAGGUUGUGCUCGGUCGUCGGAGGUGAAGGAGGUGGCAGCGCGGCUCCAGCAGGUCGUGUACUAGUCAUCAUCGCCGCGAGAGGUUGAAGUGGAAGCUUAGGGGAGCCCGCAACCUCCUCCUUCAUCGCCGCCACCAUGUUGUCUAUCGCCUUGGAAGACGGCCGAAGGUCCCGUUUGACGGUCGGCGUCGGCAAGGGUGGUUGGCUCGUCAUGACGGCUCGAGUGGCGACAGCCGCCAGUGAUGAACCACUGUCAAUGAGGUCCUUGCCUUUUGCCGCCAUUUCGCUACUAGCAUUGCCGAAUUCGCAUGCCGACAAGGGCGCCUAGGUGCGACGUGGAUGGGUUAUAAGUUCUGCCGGUCAUUGGGGAUGGGGACCGCGGCGACAGGGUGAAGAGCGGUGGCGUUGGGGUUGUGCGGGAAAGCUGCGGGCAAUCGUGAGGGGGUGGCUUUUCCUAAUAAUCCUGGUGGCUAGACUAAAAGUGAGCAAGUGGGAGGAGGUAUGGAAGGGGAGCCGUUUUUAGGCGAAAAAGGGCCAUAUAAGGAAUUUGUUAGAUACCCCUUAAUCCCCUAAAACCAACUUUUUCCUAUCAAAUAUAACUUAUAAGGGAUCCACAAGAGAUGCCCUUGUAACGUGCUCUAGAAUUUGUCCCAUUUUGUGUGUUUGUAGAUGCUUCGCUAGCAUUAUCUUAUGAUUAAGCAUACAUUCUUAGCAGUAAUGAAAUUGAAGCGUUUCAUUAUGAGCAAUUGCUAUUAUGUACCUGUAUGUCUGUAGCAUGGCUUGAAAAUCUCUUCCCUGGACAGGCAAAAAGUUCUGAAUUUCACUAGAUCGCCCACAAGAAGAAACCCAGGCAGUAGGUAUAUCUGUGCUUCAUUAGUAGAACUAUUGUCCAACUAGUAUAACUGUAUAAGGUUGAAUUAUCUCGACAUUGCUUGUGCCUGUCAAUAAGAUUGUUGAGGUUAAGCAUUUACUAUUACAUGGCCAAAAGCCAGAAUGGUGUGUUGAACCUGCAAAUCUGGAAAAUCGGUAGUUUGGAAAACCAAUUAGUAGAAGUAAUUAGGGUGAAUGACCGUGUGUGUCUCUCAGACCCGCACCUCUUAUUUACAGUGCUAAAAUUACAUACUUGGUUAGACUUACUCGGACUAUAUUAGGAAUUCAGACAUCCCCUUUCAAGAUGGGCCGAAGAUAUCGAUUUGUCCCAUCUUGUUAUAUUAUAAUAGCACCCUCUAGUACCUACCCUUUUGGUUUAAUAGUCAGGUAACUGCUCGCCUACUCGAGACAUACUCCAACUUUUUUUUUUGAGGGGAGACAUUCCAUUUUUAGCACCCUACUCGUCACUUUCUCCUUGAUGAAAAACUUAUAGGCUUGCAGUCACAAUGCAUUGCCAAAGAGUCAUUCCCCAACACUGAAAGCUGACAGUAGAGCGACCAUUUUUCACACAACCUCAAUUCAGUUGCUCUAUGCUCUGCCUGUGUAGUAGACGGAGCUACAAUUGGUCGGUACAACUCCAUAUCACAAGAUAUUUCCCACGAAGAUGUUGAUUACCUUGUCAGCAGACCACUUGCCCAAUCUGCGUCUCAAUAUCCUUGUACACUCGAUCUUCUGUUUUCGAACUGUAAAUCCUUUGCCAAGAAGGGUACUCUUUAAAUACCUCUGGUUCCAGUAUACAACCCUAGAGAACACCUGUGUUGUGACACUAUGUCAAGAUUGACCGGUGAUGUCGACCUACUGCAUCCUCUAGAAUUUCUACACCUAGGUCAUUGAUAUUUUCCAUAUCACAAGAUUGGCUUAAGGCUUGGUGUACCAGUCAUGGUUCUCCGAAAAAUUAAUACGACCACUGUUUGGGUUUGCAACUGAACUCGCUUGCUACUCGCAAGCCUGGGUGGACUCGGUGCUGGAAGAGAAAUCAUUGCCGGUUCAAAUAAGGCCAGCCUGUCUGUAUUCCUUGGAUUGUUCUGAGUUCAGCGGGUUGUAAGUGGCCAUUUACGCUGCUACACCAUCGUACGACCUUCAAAAGAGGGUACCCGACACAAGUAGGAGACAUGGAAUAUAGUGUACAGAGUGAUCGUCGAAUCCCUGUAGCCCCUGGUGAAUCUUCUUGCAGGGUAGAAGGUACAGCCAUUCCCCAACUGUAUUUUUUUUCUGUCUUGUGAUUCAUUAACCUUUAUUCAUGACGCCGGCCCAUUUACUUCUCUGAGGGAAACAAAUAUAUUACCACCGUCCCAAAUUAGAUCCAAGAAAAUAGAGCGAGCGGCGCACUUUUCUUACCUUUGCUGCAUCAUAGCCACGUUCAGGAACUCAGUGACUGCCAGAAUGGCGAUUUUAGUUGCAAUGCUUGCAUUGGUCAACCAGGCAUUUUAGGCUUUUGUACAGCAAGAUUAUGACCAAGUUUUUAGAGGAAUUUAAACUUUCAAAUUAGUUUUGGUUGGGGUGCGCCUGCCUGGGCUGUAGUGCAACGCCCAGGCGACACCCAAGGGCCCCCCCAGUGGCAAGCCACUGUGAUAUACCCUCCUCCACAAAAAAUAAAUUUAAUAUCAUUAUGGGCACAUGGCCCACAUAUCAAAUAUUAAACUGAUAAAAACAGAUACUGCACUUGAUCUUAGCCAAAAGGCCGAAAAAGGUAUGAUUUGCACGCCCCCCUCCCCCUGCUCUUAUAGCUUUGUCCACCGUCUCUCCGCUCUGGGCCAGCGAGGUGGUACUAAACGAAACGAAAGAACGGAGAGAGUCCCUGCUGCUCUCGGGCGAACAGCCUAUGCGCCCCUCGUUCGUUUGGGCUUCAUCUGGCCCGGUAAGAACACCACGGCAGCAAUGCUUCUACGGCCCAGUAUUAAACAUCCCGUGGCAAAUUGCCGUUGGGCCAGCCCAUUUAGUGAAUAAAGAACGUGCACUGGACGCCAGUUUUGGCGACCUUUUUCCUGUCCGGUUUUGGCAACCUUCCAGAAGGUUCCUGAACCCUUUUUUACUGGUUUUAUUUUAUUUUUUAAAUUAAUUUCUUCCUUUUUUACCUUUACUCUUUUUCCUCUUUCUUUUUUCUUUUAUUUUCAUUUUCUCUUUACUUUGACGAAUUUAUGUUUCUUUUUUCUAAAAAAUGUGUUUGGAAUUUCUAAAUUUCUUACAAUUUUCAAAAUUUGUUCAGAAAUUCAAAAAAUGUUUGUCGCAUUCGAAAUUUUGUUUAGAAAUUCGAAAAAUGUUUCCUUUCUAAAAAACUGUUAACAAUUUAAAAAAAUUCGAAAUUUCAUAAUUUUUUUAGAAAAUUUAAAAAUUGAUCCCGAUUUUCAAAAAUUGUUCAUAAAUUCAAAAAGAGUUUGAGAAUUCAAAAAAAUGAUCUACUUUCCAAAAUUUGCUCAACAAUUCAAAAAUGUUCAGCAAUUAAAGAAAUGUUCGGGAUCUAACAAUUUGUUCAGAAUUUCCAAAAAAAAUUGUUUUUUAAAAUUUGUUUACAAACUUAAAAAAUGUUUGGGAAUUUGAAAAAAUGUUCACGGUUUCAAAAAUUGUGUCGUGUUCCAACACUGCAUGCACGCACUCGACUAAUUCACGGGGCACCUCAAGAACGAGCAGAACCCAUAGCCGCCAGCGGCACCCUGGCGGCACCGAAAGGAUCUUUGUGCUCCUCGAAGGCAGGCCCAUGGCUAUCACCGGGCCUAGAUAUGGCGGCGAGGGCAUGGCAACGAGAAGACAAGAAAAAUCACCAUCAUCAUGUUUGAAGUAGGGGUUUCAUUAAACUUAUGAAGACCAUAGGUGCCAUAACUCAGUGAUGACAUAAUCCUUGCAAACAUUAUAUUUAGAAAAUCUACAACUAAAAAAAGAUUCAUAAAAUCUACUUUGAGAAUGGCUUCUUAUUUAGAGAACUACUUGACGCGUGAUAAAUGUGAAGAGGCAGUAUAUUUGUUCAGGUCAUCUUUUAGCAAAUCUCUAUCCUAAAAGUCCAAAACCUUCUUCCUAUCUCAUUUCCCUAAAGCAGAUCCCCUAUUCCAAUUUUUUUUGCCAUUUUUCAAAACAUUUGCUAGAACAAUUGAAACAAAUUCACCAUAUUUAAAAACAAACAUAGACAAUUCAAAUGGACCACAUCGUAAUUCAACUACAAGCAUAAAUAAAGUUCAUCGAAUCCAUCAAAGAGAACCACAUGAACAUGUCUCCCUCGCAUGGAUCAAACCGUCUUGUCUUUCCCGCAUGGUUCUUGGCGGAUACCCUCCCGGAUCCGUCCUGGUGGGCUGCUCCGGAUCUGCAGCCUGUAGCGCGCCGGCUUUCGAGACACGCAAGGAUGCAUGUUGCGCGUCUUCGCGGGGCUGUCCAGCCGUGGUGACUUCUUCGAGGCGCGUGUGGUGGUGCAUCGCCCUCCUUUCGCUGCGUGGUCGUCCUCUUCGGAGCUCGCGGUUGUCUACUGCCGGCUCGGGCUAGGCCCGGUUCAAAUGAGGUGUUGUGUGGGCAGGAUGGAUGUAGUCGAAUUUGGACUGUGGUGCCAUAGAUCUGGAGAGGGGCGGCAGUGGGGUGCCAUGGCCCUUUAUGUGGUUCCGUCUCGAUCAGCAUGCCAUAAGAUGGAUUGUUCGGCUACAACGAGAAUGACGGUGAAAUUGCUCGGAUUUUUGUCAGGCUGACGAUGACAACACCCGAGGGCCCCAAUGUGGGGUGCGCCUGCCUAGGCUGUAGUGCAACGUCCAGGCGACACCCGAGGGCCCCAAUGGCAAGCCACUGUGGUGGACCCUCCCCCAUAAAAAAUAAAUUUAAUAUCGUUUUGGGCACAUGGCCCACAUAUCAAAUAUUAAACUGAUAAGAACAGACACUACACUUGAUUUUAGCCAAAAGGCCGAGAAAGGUAUGAUUUGCAAUGAUGUGUUGCCCCUCUUCUUAUAGCUUCCUCGACCACCUCCCUACUCUCCACCAGCGAGGUGUUACUAAAGGAAAGAACGAAGAGAGUCCCUGCUGCACUCGGGCAAACAGUCUUUGCGCCUCCCGUUCGUUUGGACAUCAGGCCCGGUAAGAAUACACCACGGCAGCAAUGCUUCCACGCCCCACUAUUACGUUGUUUCCAACAGAGCCUAGCGACCGAUUGGAUUUCAUUGGGCCGGCUCAUUUAGUGAAUAAAUAACUUGCAAUGGACGACAGUUUUGGGAAAAAAAUUCCUGGCCGGUAUUGGGAACCUUCUGAAAAAAAAGAAGCUUCCUGAACCCUUUUUUAUUGAUUUUUCUUUCAGUUUUAAAUUUAAUUUUUAAUUUUUCUUAUUUUUCCUUUUUAAUUUUUCUUCUUUUCUUUUCAUUUUUGUUUUUGUUUUUUCCUUUCUUAAAUUUAUUUCCCUUUUUCUAAAAAAAUGUUUGUAGAAAUUUCAACAUUCUUCUUUGAAAUUUGGCAAUUUCUUCCUGUUUUAAUUUUUUUUUCAAAAAGUAAAAAAAUGUUUGUUGUUUUAACAAAUUUGCUUGGAGUUUAAAAAAAUGUUUCCUUUUUCAAAAUUGUCCACAGUUUCAAAUCAAAAUGCAAUUUCAAAAUUUGUUCAAAAAUUCAAAAAAUGAUCCUGAUUCUCAAAACUGACAGGUGAGCCUUUUGACAGACCAUUUUUCACACAACCUCAAUGACAUUGCUCUAUACUCUGCGUAGUAGUAGACCGAGCUGCAACCUACAAAACUCCGUGUCACAAGAUAUUUUCCACAGAGAUGUUAGUAUCCUGAGGAAGAUCUUUUGUCACCACACUUCUUGCCCAAUCUGCAUUGCAGCAUCCUUUGUGCUCUCAGUGUUGUCUUUUUGAACCCAAGUCCUUUACCAAGCCCAUUGUGAUACAGAGGGAGUACCUCUGGUUCCAGUAGACAGCCCUAAAGAUCACUUCAGUUGUGACAGAGUGUCAGGCUUGACUGGUGAUGCCGACCGACCCACGGCAUCCUCUGGAAUUAUCUACACUCUACAGUUAUUAACAAUUUUGCACGUCACAAAAUACAAAAUUGCCUAAGUUUGCUGUGUGCUAAUCGCCCGGGUGGAAGAGGCCUAUCCAUUUAGCUCAUUAGUUUCACCUCAUUUUGCUUUUCAUCAGGUAUUCAAUAUAAUUUCAGAAGUCUUUUUAAAAGGAUUCAAAAAGUUUUCAAAUAGUAUUGGUUGGGGUGCGCCCGCCUGGGCUGUAGUGCAACGCCCAUGCAACAACUGAGAGCCCCAAUGGCAAGCCAUUGUGGUGAACCCUCCCCCAUAAAAAAUAAAUUUAAUAUCAUUAUAGGCACAUGGCCCACAUAUCAGAUAUUAAACUGAUAAGAACAGAUACUACACUUGAUCUUAGCCAAAAGGCCGAGAAAGAUAUGAUGUGCAAUGAUGCCCUCCCCUCCUCUUAUAGCUCUGUCCACCAUGUCUCCGCUCUCCGCCAGCGAGGUGGUACUAAACCAGAACCAAAGAACAGAGAGUCUCUGUGGCGCUCGAGCAACCAGCCAAGCCAGCCUAUGCGCCUCUCGUUCGUUUGGGCUUCAGCAGGCCCGGUAAGAACACCACGGCAGUCAGCAGCCUAUAGUUCCACGGCCCAGUAUUACGACUCCUUUUUUUCGCUGUUCGUUUCCCUAGCUGAGUGUGUGUGACCUGAUCAUGCCGACCAUGAAUGAAGCCACCACACCACACGCCCCCCACCCCCCAAAAAGAAAAACAGACGAGUCUGUUGCGUUCAGUUCAACCUGUAGGGAUCGAUCGACGUCGACAAAGAUGUACGUCACCAUGAAGGAUCGGGCGAGUCGCGCAAGUGCAGGAUGACAACGCCGCCAACGACUACGUGAACGUGUUCCAAUACUACAUGCAGCUCGACUACUUCGCAGCGCAGCUCAAGUGCGAGCAUAACCCAUAGUCGUCAGGCUCCCGCGGUACAUCGUCAAAGCUGAAGAGAUCCGGACGCUCCUCUAAGGACUAAGGCAAGCCCAGUUGUCUUAAGUGGUGGCUUAUUGGUGUUGAGCAUUUGCCUCUUUGGUGCGGUUUCAAAGUUUUUCUUGUCCACUUCUCAUGUCCAUCAAACUCCGAGUAGCAAUGAUGCAGAGUAAGCGGGUUGGAGCCAUUUCUCUUGUUCCUUUAUUUGUAGAGAGGAGAGCUUGCAUGACGGGCUUGUACUCCUUGAUGGCCAGUCCAUUUGAUGGCGCAAGGUUUGACUUGCAAAACACAUCCGGUCCACCGUUUGCAUUGGUCUGGUUGCAUUGGUCUUGGAUUAAAGUCCAGCGAUGACCGAGAGAUCUGGUUCUGCGGUUGGAGGGACUGGUUACAUUGCUAUUGCAGUGCUUCUCGGUGCUUUGCUAAAAUUUCUCCUUUGUUUUGUUUGCACCGAUGAUGGCAUCGAGGUCGACCCAAGCUUCACACAAACAUUUGUCUUCCUUAUGGUUUUAAAAAAUUUGUUUUCCUUGGUCUUGUAGUUGCAUGACCUACUCCUCUUCUUGUUUCCUUGAUUCUCCUCGACCUCAUCCACCACCUCAGCAUUUCUUGUUUGCAUAUCUGGCAUUGACAUGGCAAUAUCGCCGAGACCGAGUGUGUGGCUUACAUCCAAUUUUUUCAUGAAAGCGACGGCAUUCUCAUGCAAUUGCUCACUACAAAAGUAAAAGAACCAAUCAAUCAAUAACAAAUCAUGCAUCAUAUGUACAUCUAUAUAUAUACAUCUAUUCUCUAUACAUACAAAUAUAAAAAUAAUAGAUGGUUGCGGGAGUUGAUUGAAGCCCCCUCCCCCCGCGUCCACCUUGAGAAACCACACCAGCUAGGACUAGGAUCUUCUGCUUGUUGUCGUCGUUGAUGCCGUCUUGCUUUUGUUACUACUUGUUUGCAGUGAUUUGUACAACCACCGAAGGCUGCUCGCUAGGCUAGCAUCGCUGGAAGACGCAUACCAAGUGUUCAACAAAAUGCAUAAGCCAACUAUAACUUUUAUUCCUUUAAGUUUAGGGGGUUGGUUAGGCCCUGCCAAAAUUUAGUACAGUAAAAAUACUCCGCUAAGCUUUACUCGGCCGGAUACUCCUCUAUUUUUCAGGGGAUCGGCUAGAGUUGCUCUCAGUCAUCUCUUGAUAUUUUUUCUUCAAACGUUUUUGUUUGUUUGCUUCUAUAUCUUAGUCUCAUCAACUUAUCCGUGUAGUUUAUCAAUCUAUGUGAUUAGACCGGUUCAAGCAAUUUUUUUAUGACUUAUAGUAGUAUUUCUUACUGUGCAAAUUUCUUCUUACAACUAAUGGCUAAUCCGGGCUAAAAAAACUCCAAUUUAGUUAUUUUAUCUAUUACUACUUCUUAGUUCAUAGCACAUUUCAUCUUCAUGUACGAUGUAUGGUAAUUCGAGAAAUCAUUUAACUUUGAGUUUUUGGCACUUAAAGUUUCAGGAAGACCUAUGGAGAUUUUUCUUUUAAAAAAAAUCAACAACUUCUAAGAUGCCCGAACUAGUUGAUUUGAACAAGCUUUCCAAGGACCAAUCUAAAAGGAAGAGGAUUGUAGAUUACAAUCCCAAACAUCAUGAAACCAAAGGUAAUGGCAUAGCUAAAGCUCCUUUUGUUUUUUAAUACCGGCCUUCGUUAAUGUUUUCAUUCAUCCUCAAUUUAAUCAUGCUCUUUUUGUUGAUGUUGCUGGUUGUAGGUUAGAUUGCUAUAAAAAUGAUCAGACCUUCUUUGGUUUGUAGGAACUCUAAAGGAUAGGAUCUUUGUGGAGAAUUAUUUUUUUGAAGCCCUUUGGUUUGUAGGAAUAGAAUCUUAUUCAUGUAUGGGAUAGGAACCAAUCCAUUGUAUUUCAAUUUUCAAAAGAAAAAAAACCAUUAGCCUUGAUCCAAAGGAAAAAUUCUAUCCUAUGAACCAAAUGGCACCUCUUUCUCUAAGGGAUUUGAGAUAGAUGUCAUAUCACUUCCUAUAUUUUUUCUAUUCCUAUGGUAUUAUAUCUUUCGAACCAAAAGAGGCCUGAAUAUUCUGUUUUGCAACCUCGGAUGAAGUAGUUCAUUUUAUCUCAAAUGGUUAUCUUUUGUUACGUUUCAACGAAUUUGGUCACCAUGUGAAGAAUGAAGUGAUUAUGCCCACAUUUUAGUUUACAUCGAUAUUGUUGCCUUAUUGAUUCAUAAAUAACUCCAUGCAUUUUUUAGCCCCCUCUAAAAAAAUUGGUCUGCCCUGGAGGGCGAGCUCCUUGUUCGACUCCGCUAUGGGGGCGUCCCAAUCAAUGGGUCGGCUUCAAAGGAGGAGCCGCUACCGAAGCCGGACAUGGUGGCGACGGAAGGCGGCGAGGGGAGAGGAUGGGGAGUAGAGCGGUUGGGUUGCGAUUUUUCGGGCUGUCCGCUCAGACGUUUGGUAGAAGGGUAAGAGGGGUUCGGUUGUAGAAGAUCUGCCUCAUAUAUAUCUCCGGCUGUCCAUGCCUACGUGCUCCAACCGAGGCACUGACGGUGGAGCUCGCCGUCGGACGUGACUGAUUGUAUGAUCGAUGGUGGCCGAGAUAAUCCUUUAUUUACAGAAGAUGGCGGACGAGAUAAUAUUUCCCAGCAGUUUAUCGCUGCCUGGGGGGUCUGCUCAGUCGUCAGCAACGAUGUCUGCGGCUGACGUCGUACCGUUGCCGCUACCUGCUCCACUCGAACUCGAGUCGACGCGAAUCCACGCAAGCGAGCGGGGCAAGUCCACCGAGUCCCAUUAAACAAACCCGAAUCCACGCAAGCAAAGCGAAGCGGCUCUCUGUACUACAAGGGGCGCGCGCCCCAGCUGAGAGCUCCUCGCCUCGCCGGCUCGCCCGAUCCUUGUCUUGCUGGCGCUAGCUAGCUCCAGCGCGGGUCAAUAUGGCGGCGGCGAUGGUGUGGGUGCCGAUACUGGAGGAGGGGGUGUUCCGGUUCGACGCGUCGGAGGCCGCGCGCGCGGCGGCCGGGCCCAGCCUGUCGUUCGCCGAGCCGCGCCGCCGGGAGGUGGUACUGCGUGAGGGGGUGGACGACGCCGGCCGCCCCGCGGUCGUGCCGGAGUGCGAGGUGGUGGGUGACGACGUCCACAGGAUUCUCAUCAAGGUACGGGUUUUGGUCGUCAGGGAAAUGAUGUUUACGUGUAUACAGUGCACUGUGCCCGUUAACUCUCACUGGGGUACACUUGUUUUUUUUAGGGUAAAGCAAAGCUUUAUAAAAUAACGGUGUACGGGCAAGUCGCCCGAAACACAAACAACCACUGAGGGCGGUACAAUAGAGUCCCAGCUAGCGCUGUCAUGUGGCAAACAACUACGACCAACUUUAGCUAAUUCGUGUGCUACAGAGUUCGCACUACGACGAUAAACACUGAUGGAGUGUUGUGAAAACCACAUCUUGAGCUGGAAUUUAGUGUCCUCAAUGAUGGCCGCAUAAGGAGAUGAAUCCACCUUGGUGAAGUCAAGAGCUUUGGACAGGAGCUUUGAGUCUGUUUCGAAGAUCACCCGGAGUGCACCAACCUCGGCCGCCAUUGAGACGGCCUCAGACAUGACAGUAGCUUCCGCAGCAAAAGGGUUGGCAACGUGUUCCUUCCGUCCCGCACGGGUCAGCAUGACCUCCCCAGCAUCAUCCCGUAUCACUACACCCCAUGUUACAAAGGACUCGCCCGGGGUGAAGGCUCCAUCCAAAUUGAUUUUGACCCUGUCCUUCUCCGGGGGUUGCCAUCUGCAGUCCGGUUUGUGUUUGGCCUUUGCACCAAAAAGCUGCAUAUACUCCUGUGUGUUACUGAACACACGCCGAACCACCUCAGACACAGGGACUGGUAGCUCGCCCUCUCUAACCUUGUUCCUGUGGUUUCACCAAUGCCACCAGAAUGUGAGAAUCUGUAUUCUUUUCUUUUCAUCUAACGUCCACAGGAAGUCCUGCAUUACAUGCACUGAUGUGAAUUGUUCAAACUCCACUCUGGUCGCUUCCAAGCUCAUGGCUCGCCAGGCUAUCUUAACCUCUUUGCAUUUGACGAAGAGAUGUGCGCCAUCCUCAUCUGCAAGGCCACACAAGAGGCACUUCGUGGAUUCAAGUUUAACUCCCCUCCGGGCAAGAUUUGUCCGCAGCGCAAGAGACUCAUGUUUGAUCCUCCAUGUGAACAUUUGAAUUUUGCGCGGAGUUGGAAGUUUUCAAAUCCUCUUCCAGGACAUAUCAUCACAUCGGUCCAGGUUGCCAGCCGCCGUGGCGCUGUUGCCUGCGCCAUCGCCGCGAUCUUGUUUCUCCAGUUGGACCUGCAGCUUGUAGGCAUUCCGGACUGAAUGUUGGCCCUUGCUGUCAAAGUGCCAAGCCAUGAAAUCGUCAACACCUUCUCGAAGCGGGAUCUGUAGGAUAUGGCGAGCGUCGUCCGGCCAGAACGAUGCAUUGACAAGUUCUUCAUCCCAGGUACCCGUGACCGGGCUGAUGAGCUCACUGACCUGUGUGAGCAGGCUCUGUCCACGUGGGGUGAUGACUUGCCUCGACCAAGCUCUAGGAAUCCAUGGAUCAGUCCAUAUCUUCACCGUUGAGCCAUCCUCGAUCCUUCAGAUGUAACCCUGUUUAACUAGAUCGAGGCCCUUCAAUAUGCUUCUCCAGGUUGUAAGAUAUCCCAUCUCUCGGCACCGCCUCCAGGAUACUACAGUGCGGGAAGUAGCGAGCUUUCAAAAUUCUGCAACAGAGGCUGUCGGGGUUUUGAAGCAGUCGCCAUCCUUAUCUGGACAACAUGGCGAUGUUAAAAUUGUGCAUGUCCAGAAAUCCCAAUCCUCCCAUUGCUUUUGGCUUCGUCAGAGUCUCCCAGCUUAACCAGUGUGUUGGAAUAAGCCACGAUGUGUGCGAUCGGGCUCAUCGGGCGCGAUGGAUACGCGCGGGACGGGCGGGACGCACUGGUGCCGUCGGGCUCGUCGGGCGCGUCGGUGACGCGCGGGACGGGCGGAACGUGCGGGAUGCAGCAGCGUAAGCUAACUAACUCCAACACACACGCACACGGACUCGUGCACACACACGCACCUACGAACCUGAUGCGGCCACACACCGCCCACACACACGCGCCACGCUGCUGCAUCCCGCAUGUUCCGCCCGUCCCGCGCGUCACUGAUGCGCCCGACGAGCCCGGCGGCACCAGUGCGUCCCGCCCGUCCCGCGCGUAUCCGUUGCGCCCGACGAGCCCGACCGCACACACCGUGGCUUAUUCCAACACACACCCCCUAAGCCACGGCCUACAGCAGGUGAGUCCAUCGUCGUCGAUGUCGCAAUGGCCGCUCCUACGGCCUCCUCGACGCUUGACACUGCCUCCAUGACGCCAUGUCCUGCACGCCCCGGCUCGCGCACACGAUCACGCACUGACGUGAUCGACGCGGCCGCCCUGCGCUCUGCUGGACGCGUUCUCCCCCGGUGAUCCGCAUGCCCGUACGCGCGCCCGCAGUCCCGACGCGCCCGACGCGUCCAGUGCACACCCAUAACACGCACCGGUCGCGCCCGGCUCGCCGCCACGGCUUAUUGCCCUGCACCGCUGCGGUCUCAACUGCAGCGCAGUGCCUCCACAGUCGUCGCGCCGAGCCGCCGCGGCCUCUGCGACACCACGCAGGUCCUCCGCGACCUUCUCGUCUCUGCGACUGCCGCUGCUCGUUGCGCGCACGGCAUCACGCCACACCGCCGUGGACUUGCCGCGCGUUGCCGACGCCACGCGCUCGCCACGCGCCGUUGCCAAGACCUUCAUGUCCGCCGCGCACCGCGCGCGCCACGAACGCCGCUGCACGCCACGGCUGCCCCUCGAACCCGGUCACUCUGAUGCCAAUUGUUGUUGCAGCUCUUUCUCUCUCUCAUAGCUGGAGGUAGAAGAAGGAGGAGCAUACAGUAUACUGAAGUUUCAUCCAGCUUCACAGCCCCGUUACUAUUCUCAGAGCAUCAAUUCUACUCAACAAAUACAUGGUCACGUCCACGGCUUUGUAGCCCUACAGCUACGCAGCAUCCACGUCUCCUGCGCAUACAUGCAAGUAGCGGAGCGAGCGAUCCGCCCGGCCAACGACGCGCACACAACGCACUCGAUCCAUCUGAUCGUAACAGCCUUUCUACUGCAUGGUGCAUGCACAGCUCCUCCACGCUACAUGCAUGUCAAGCUAACUAACUCCAACACACACGCACACGGACUCAUGCACACACACGCACCUACAAACCUGAUGCGGCCACACCGCCCACACACACGCGCCACGCUGCUGCAUCCCGCACGUUCCGCCCGUCCCGCGCGUCACCGACGCGCCCGACGAGCUUGCCGCCAUGGCUUAUCGCCCUGCACCGCUGCGGCCUCGACCGCAGCGCAGCGCCUCCACAGUUGUCGCGCCGAGCCGCCACGGCCUCUGCGACACCACGCAGGUCUUCUGCGACCUCCUCGUCUCUGUGACCGUCGUUGCUCGUCGCGCGCACGACAUCACGCCACACCGCCGUGGACUCGCCGCGCGUUGCCGACGCCACGCGCUCGCCGCGUGCCCGACAUCAUGCCCCACUGCCGUGGACUCGCCACGCGCCGUUGUCAAGACCUUCAUGUCCGCCGCGCACCGCGCGCGCCGCUAACGCCACCGCACGCCACGGCCGCCCCUCGAACCCGGUCGCUCUGAUACCAAUUGUUGCUGCAGCUCUUUCUCUCUCUCUCUCGUAGCUGGAGGUAGAAGAAGGAGGAGCACACAGUAUACUGGAGUUUCACUCGGCUUCACAGCCCCGUUACUAUUCCCAGAGCACCAACUCUACUCAACAAAUACAUGGUCGCGUCCACGGCUUUGUAGCCCUACAGCUACGCAGCGCCCACGUCUCCUGCGCAUACAUGCAAGUAGCGAAGUGAGCGAUCCGCCCGGCCAACGAUGCGACCAUGUAUUUGUUGAGUAGAGUUGGUGCUCUGGGAAUAGUAACGGGGCUGUGAAGCCGGGUGAAACUCCAGUAUACUGUGUGCUCCUCCUUCUUCUACCUCCAGCUACGAGAGAGAGAGAAAGAGCUGCAACAACACAGUGCAUUGUAUUCUCCUUGUCUUGGUGGCUCCACCAAAACUUCCCUAAUAACGAGUUCAGCUCCUGGCAGAAGGUUUUCGUGAGAUCGAAGCAAGACAUGGCAAAGGUCGGGAUGGCCUGCCCCAUGGCCUUAACCAGAGUUUCUUUCCCACUCUUUGCCAAGAGUCUUUCCUGCCAGCCAUGGACUCGCCCACACAAGCACCUUUUGAUAUAUGCAAACGUGCGACGCCGGGAUCGACCAACAUGUACAUGCAGUCCCAAGUAGCGAUCAUUCCAAUCCUCACUCAUGAUUUGCACUUCCGCCUUCACCCGUUGUUUAGUGUGCUCAUCCGUGUUGGGGGAGAACAUGAUAGCAGACUUCUCCGUAUUGAUGCAUUGUCCAGAGCAGUUCUCGUAGAGCUGAAGAAUGUCAUGGAGAGCAGCGGCUUCCUCCUGCUUGGCCUUUAGCAAAAUCACUGAAUCAUCGGCAAACAAUAGGUGUGACACGCUAGGCGCAGUUUGGCAGAUUUUGACUCCACUGAUGCGUCCAUGUUCCUCAGCAUCAUGCAGCAAUGCAGACAAGCCCUCGGCACAAAUCACAAAGAGGUAAGGGGAGGGGGUCCCCCUGUCUCAAUCCCUGGGUGGGCACAAAUUGUUCCGUAAGAACUCCAUUCACCUUGAUCUGAUAACGCACAGUUGUGACACACUUCAUGAUGAGAUUUACCCAUCUCCUGCGAAAACCAAGUUUUGUGAGCAUUGCCUCCAGAAAACUCCACUCGACGCAGUCAUAUGCCUUGCUCAUGUCCGCUUUUAUUGCAGCAAUACCAUCUAGGCCCCCUCUUUUAUUCCUCAAGUAAUGUGUGACCUCAUAAGCAAUCAAGACAUUAUCUGUGAUGAGACGUCUCGGAAUGAACGCACUUUGGUUCUCGGAGAUAAUGUCUGGUAGUACAACUUUCAGUCGGUUUGCUAACACCUUGGAGACGAGUUUGUAUAGGACGUUGCAUAAACUUAUAGGACGCAAAUCCUUAAUCCUGCUCGGGUCCUUGACUUUAGGUAUACGUACCACGAGAGUAUCAUUCCAGCCUUCCGGAAUAUCACCUCCAUUGAGUACUCCCUGUUGGGUUUCGUAGUAAUUUCAAAAAAAUUCCUACGCACACGCAAGAUCAUGGUGAUGCAUAGCAACGAGAGGGGGAGAGUGUGAUCUACGUACCCUUGUAGAUCGACAACGGAAGCGUUAACUUGGUUGAUGUAGUCGUACGUCUCCACGGCUCGACCGAUCAAGCACCGAAACUACGGCACCUCCGAGUUCUAGCACACGUUCAGCUCGAUGACGAUCCCCGGACUCCGAUCCAGCAAAGUGUCGGGGAAGAGUUCCGUCAGCAUGACGGCGUGGUGACGAUCUUGAUGUACUACCGUCGCAGGGCUUCGCCUGAGCACUGCUACAAUAUUAUCGAGAACUAUGGUGGAAGGGGGCACCGCACACGGCUAAGAAUAUGAUCACGUGGAUCAACUUGUGUCUCUAGGGGUGCCCCGUGCCUCCGUAUAUAAAGGCUCAAAGGGGGGGGCUGGCCGGCCAAGAGGUGGCGCGCCAGGAGGAGUCCUACUCCUUCCGGGAGUAGGACUCCCCCCCUUUCCUAGUUGGAAUAGGAUUCGCGGAGGGGGGAAAAGAGGAGAGAGAGGAGGAAGGGGGGCCGGCCCCCUCUCCUUGUCCUAUUCGGACCAAGGAGGGGGGAGGGGCGCGCGGCCCAUCUCUGGCCACCUCUCCUCUCUUCCACUAAGGCCCACUAAGGCCCAUAUACUUCCCGGGGGGUUCCGGUAACCUCCCGGUACUCCGGUAAAAUCCCGAUUUCACCCGGAACACUUCCGAUAUCCAAACAUAGGCUUCCAAUAUAUCAAUCUUUAUGUCUCGACCAUUUCGAGACUCCUCGUCAUGUCCGUGAUCACAUCCGGGACUCCGAACAACCUUCGGUACAUCAAAAUGCAUAAACUCAUAAUAUAACUGUCAUCGUAACCUUAAGCGUGCGGACCCUACGGGUUCGAUAACAAUGUAGACAUGACCGACACGUCUCCGGUCAAUAACCAAUAGCGGAACCUGGAUGCUCAUAUUGGCUCCUACAUAUUCUAUGAAGAUCUUUUUAUCGGUCAGACCGCAUAACAACAUACGUUGUUCCCUUUGUCAUCGGUAUGUUACUUGCCCAAGAUUCGAUCGUCGGUAUCCCAUACCUAGUUCAAUCUCGUUACUGACAAGUCUCUUUACUCGUUCCGUAAUACAUCAUCCUGCAACUAACUUCAUUAGUUGCAAUUCUUGCAAGGCUUAAGUGAUGUGCAUUACCGACAGGGCCCAGAGAUACCUCUCCGACAAUCGGAGUGACAAAUCCUAAUCUCGAAAUACGCCAACCCAACAUGUACCUUUGGAGACACCUGUAGAGCUCCUUUAUAAUCACCCAGUUACGUUGUGACAUUUGGUAGCACACAAAGUGUUCCUCCGGCAAACGGGAGUUGCAUAAUCUCAUAGUCAUAGGAACAUGUAUAAGUCAUGAAGAAAGCAAUAGCAACAUACUAAACGAUCGGGUGCUAAGCAAAUGGAAUGGGUCAUGUCAAUCAGAUCAUUCAACUAAUGAUGUGAUCCCAUUAAUCAAAUGACAACUCUUUGUCCAUGGUUAGGAAACAUAACCAUCUUUGAUUAACGAGCUAGUCAAGUAGAGGCAUACUAGUGACACUCUGUUUGUCUAUGUAUUCACACAUGUAUUAUGUUUCCGGAUAAUACAAUUCUAGCAUGAAUAAUAAACUUUUAUCAUGAUAUAAGGAAAUAAAUAAUAACUUUAUUAUUGCAUCUAGGGCAUAUUUCCUUCAGUCUCCCACUUGCACUAGAGUCAAUAAUCUAGAUCACAUCACCAUGUGAUUAACAUCGAUAGUUCACAUCAUCAUGUGAUUAACACCCAUAGUUCACAUCGCCAUGUGACCAACACCCAAAGGGUUUACUAGAUUCAGUAAUCUAGUUCACAUCGCUAUGUGAUUAACACCCAAAGAGUACUAACGUGUGAUCAUGUUUUGCUUGUGAGAGAAAUUUAGUCAACGGGUCUGCCAUAUUCAGAUCCGUAUGUAUUUUGCAAAUAUCUAUGUCAACAAUGCUCUGCACGGAGCUACUCUAGCUAAUUGCUCCCACUUUCAAUAUGUAUCCAGAUUGAGACUUAAAGUUAUCUAGAUCAGUGUCAAAACUUGCAUCGAUGUAACUCUUUACGACGAACCUUUUGUCACCUCCAUAAUCGAGAAACAUAUCCUUAUUCCACUAAGGAUAAUUUUGACCGCUGUCCAGUGAUCUACUCCUAGAUCACUAUUGUACUCGCUUGCCAAAAUCAGUGUAGGGUAUACAAUAGAUCUGGUACACAGCAUGGCAUACUUUAUAGAACCUAUGGCUGAGGCAUAGGGAAUGACUUUCAUUCUCUUUCUAUCUUCUGCCAUGGUCGGGCUUUGAGUCUUACUCAAUUUCAUACCUUGUAACACAUGUAAGAACCCUUUCUAUGACUGUUUCAUUUUGAACUACUUCAAAAUCUUGUCAAGGUAUGUACUCAUUGAAAAAAACUUAUCAAGCGUCUUGAUCUAUCUCUAUAGAUCUUGAUGCUCAAUAUGUAAGCAGCUUCACCGAGGUCUUUCUUUGAAAAACUCCUUUCAAACACUCCUUUAUGCUUUGCAGAAUAAUUCUACAUUAUUUUCGAUCAACAAUAUGUCAUUCACAUAUACUUAUCAGAAAUGUUGUAAUGCUCCCACUCACUUUCUUGUAAAUACAGGCUUCACCGCAAGUCUGUAUAAAUCUAUAUGCUUUGAUCAUACUAUCAAAGCGUUUAUUCCAACUCCGAGAUGCUUGCACCAGUCCAUAGAUGGAUCGCUGGAGCUUGCUUAUUUUGUUAGCACCUUUAGGAUUGACAAAACCUUCUGGUUGCAUCAUAUACAACUCUUUCUUUAAGAAAUCCAUUAAGGAUUGCAGUUUUGUUAUCCAUUUGCCAAAUUUCAUAAAAUGCGGCAAUUGUUAACAUGAUUUGGACAGACUUUUAAGCAUCAAUACGAGUGAGAAAAUCUCAUCGUAGUCAACACCUUGAACUUUGUCGAAAACCUUUUGUGACAAUUCUAGCUUUGUAGAUAGUAACACUACUAUCAACGUCCGUCUUCCUCUUAAAGAUCCAUUUAUUUUCUAUGGCUUGCCGAUCAUCGGGUAAGUCAACCAAAGUCCAUACUUUGUGCUCAUACAUGGAUCCCAUCUCAGAUUUCAUGGCCUCAAGCCAUUUUGCGGAAUCUGGGCUCACCAUCGCUUCUUCAUAGUUCGCAAGUUUGUCAUGGUCUAGUAACAUGACUUCCAGAACAGGAUUACCGUACCACUCUGGUGCGGAUCUCACUCUGGUUUACCUACGAGAUUCGGUAGUAACUUGAUCUGAAGUUACAUGAUCAUCAUCAUUAGCUUACUCACUAAUUGGUGUAGUAGUCACAAGAACAGAUUUCUGUGAUGAACUACUUUCCAAUAAGGGAGAUGGUACAAUUACCUUAUCAAGUUUUCUACUUUCCUCCCACUCACUUCUUUCAAGAGAAACUCCUUCUCUGGAAAGGAUCCAUUCUUAGCAACAAAUGUCUUGCCUUCAGAUCUGUGAUAGAAGGUGUACCCAAUAGUCUCCUUUGGGUAUCCUAUGAAGACAUAUUUCUCCGAUUUGGGUUUGAGUUUAUCAGGAUGAAAUUUUUUCAUAUAAGCAUCACAAUCCCAAACUUUAAGAAACGACAACUUUGGUUUCUUGCCAAACCACAUUUCAGAUUGUGUCAUCUCAACGGACUUAGAUGGUGCCCUUUUAAACGUGAAUGCAGCUGUCUUUAAUGCAUAACCCCAAAAUGAUAGUGGUAGAUCGGUAAGAGACAUCAUAGGUCGCACCAUAUCUAAUAAAGUACGGUUAUGACGUUCGGACACACCAUUAUGCUGUGGUGUUCUAGGUGGCGUGAGUAGUGAAACUAUUUCACAUUGUUUUAACUAAAGACCAAACUCAUAACUCAAAUACUCUUCUCCACGAUCAGAUCGUAGAAACUUUAUUUUCUUGUUACGAUGAUUUUCCACUUCACUCUGAAAUUCUUUGAACUUUUCAAAUGUUUCAGACUUAUGUUUCAUCAAGUAGAUAUACUCAUAUCUGCUCAAAUCAUCUGUGAAGAUCAGAAAAUAAUGAUACCUGUCGCGAGUCUCAAUAUUCAUCGGACCACAUACAUCAGUAUGUAUGAUUUCCAACAAAUUUGUUGCUCGCUCCAUUGUUCCGAAGAACGGAGUCUUAGUCAUCUUGCCCAUGAGGCAUGGUUCGCAAGUAUCAACUGAUUCAUAAUCAAGUGAUUCCAAAAGCCCAUCAGCAUGGAGUUUCUUCAUGCGCUUUACACCAAUAUGACCUAAACAGCAGUGCUACAAAUAAGUUGCACUAUCAUUAUUAACUUUGUAUCUUUUGGUUUCAAUAUUAUGAUUAUGUGUAUUACUAUGAUCGAGAUCCAACGAACUAUUUUCAUUGGGUGUGUAACCAUAUAAGGUUUUAUUCAUGUAAACAGAACAACAAUUUAUUCUCUUACUUAAAUGAAUAACCGUAUUACAAUAAACAUGAUCAAAUCAUAUUCAUGCUCAACGCAAACACCAAAUAACACUUAUUUAGGUUCAACACUAAUCCCAAAAGUAUAGGGAGUGUGCGAUGAUGAUCAUAUCAAUCUUGGAACCACUUCCAACACACAUCGUUACUUCACCCUUAACUAGUUUCUGUUUAUUCUGCAACUCCCAUUUCGAGUUACUAAUCUUAGCAACUGAACUAGUAUCUAUUACUGAGGGGUUGCUAUAAACACUAGUAAAGUACACAUCAAUAACAUGUAUAUCAAAUAUACUUAUGUUCACUUUGCCAUCCUUCUUAUCCGCCAAUCACUUGGGUAGUUCUGCUUCCAGUGACCAAUCCCUUUGCAGUAGAAGCACUUAGUCUUAGGCUUAGGAUCAGACUUGGGCUUCUUUACUUGAGCAGUAACUUGCUUGCCGUUCUUCUUGAAGUUCCCCUUCCCCUUUGCCCUUUUCUUGAAACUAGUGGUCUUGUCAACCAUCAACACUUGAUGUUUUUCUUGAUUUCUACCUUCGUUGAUUUCAGCAUCACGAAGAGCUUGGGAGUUGUUUCCGUUAUCCCUUGCAUAUUAUAGUUCGUCACGAAGUUCUAGUAACUUGGUGAUGGUAACUAGAGAAUUCUGUCAAUCACUAUCUUAUCUGGAAGAUUAACUCCCACUUGAUUCAAGCGAUUGUAGUACCCAGACAAUCUGAGCACAUGCUCACUAGUUGAGCGAUUCUCCUCCAUCUUUUAGCUAUAGAACUUGUUGGAGACUUCAUAUCUCACAACUCGGGUAUUUUCUUGAAAUAUUAACUUCAAUUCCUGGAACAUCUCAUAUGGUCCAUGAUGUUCAAAACGUCUUUGAAGUCCCGAUUCUAAGCCAUUUAAGUAUGGUGCACUAAACUAUCAAGUAGUCAUCAUAUUGAGCUAGCCAAACGUUCAUAACGUCUGCAUCUGCUCCUGCAAUAGGUCUGUCACCUAGCGGUGCAUCAAGGACAUAAUUCUUCUGUGCAGCAAUGAGGAUAAACCUCAAAUCACGGAUCCAAUCCGCAUCAUUGCUACUAACAUCUUUCAACACAAUUUUCUCUAGGAACAUAUCAAAAUAAACACAGGGAAGCAACAACACGAGCUAUUGAUCUAUAACAUAAUUUGCAAAAUACAACCAAGACUAAGUUCAUGAUAAAUUUAAGUUCAAUUUAAUCAUAUUACUUAAGAACUCCCACUUAGAUAGACAUCCCUCUAAUCCUCUAAGUGAUUACGUGAUCCAAAUCAACUAAACCAUGUCCGAUCAUCACGUGAGAUGGAGUAGUUUCAUUGGUGAACAUCGCUAUGUUGAUCAUAUCUACUAUAUGAUUCACGCUCGACCUUUCGGUCUCCGUGUUCCGAGGCCAUAUAUGUAUAUGCUUGGCUCGUCAAGUAUAACCUGAGUAUUCCGCGUGUGCAACUGUUUUGCACCCAUUGUAUUUGAACGUAGGGCCUAUCACACCCGAUCAUCACGUGGUGUCUCAGCACGAAGAACUUUCGCAACGGUGCAUACUCAGGGAGAACACUUCUUGAUAAUUAGUGAGAGAUCAUCUUAUAAUGCUACCGUCAACCAAAGCAAGAUAAGAUGCAUAAAAGAUAAACAUCACAUGCAAUCAAUAUAAGUGAUAUGAUAUGGCCAUCAUCAUCUUGUGCUUGUGAUCUCUAUCUCCGAAGCACCGUUGUGAUCACCAUCGUCACCGGCGCGACACCUUGAUCUCCAUCGUAGCAUCGUUGUCGUCUUGCCAAUCUUAUGCUUCCACGACUAUCGCUACCGCUUAGUGAUAAAGUAAAGCAUUACAGCGCGAUUGCAUUGCAUACAAUAAAGCGACAACCGUAUGGCUCCUGCCAGUUGCCGAUAACUCGGUUACAAAACAUGAUCAUCUCAUACAAUAAAAUUUAGCAUCAUGUCUUGACCAUAUCACAUCACAACAUGCCCUGCAAAAACAAGUUAGACGUCCUCUACUUUGUUGUUGCAAGUUUUACGUGGCUGCUACGGGCUUAAGCAAGAACCAAUCUUACCUAUGCAUCAAAACCACAACGAUAGUUUGUCAAGUUGGUGCUGUUUUAACCUUCGCAAGGACCGGGCGUAGCCACACUCGGUUCAACUAAAGUUGGAGAAACUGUCACCCGCUAGCCACCUUUGUGCAAAGCACGUCGGGAGAACCGGUCUCGCGUAAGCGUACGCGUAAUGUCGGUCCGGGCCGCUUCGUCCAACAAUACCGCCGAACCAAAGUAUGACAUGCUGGUAAGCAGUAUGACUUAUAUCGCCCACAACUCACUUGUGUUCUACUCGUGCAUAUAACAUCAACACAUAAAACCUAGGCUCGGAUGCCACUGUUGGGUUUCGUAGUAAUUUCAAAAAAAUUCCUACGCACACGCAAGAUCAUGGUGAUGCAUAGCAACGAGAGGGGGAGAGUGUGAUCUACGUACCCUUGUAGAUCGAAAAUGGAAGCGUUAACUUGGUUGAUGUAGUCGUACGUCUCCACGGCUCGACCGAUCAAGCACCGAAACUACGACACCUCCGAGUUCUAGCACACGUUCAGCUCGAUGACGAUCCCCGGACUCCGAUCCAGCAAAGUGUCGGGGAAGAGUUCCGUCAGUACGACAGCGUGGUGACGAUCUUGAUGUACUACCGUCGCAGGGCUUCGCCUGAGCACUGCUACAAUAUUAUCGAGAACUAUGGUGGAAGGGGGCACCGCACACGGCUAAGAAUAUGAUCACGUGGAUCAACUUGUGUCUCUAGGGGUGCCCCGUGCCUCCGUAUAUAAAGGCUCAAGGGGGGGGGGCUGGCCGGCCAAGAGGUGGCGCUCCANNNNNNNNNNNNNNNNNNNNNNNNNNNNNNNNNNNNNNNNNNNNNNNNNNNNNNNNNNNNNNNNNNNNNNNNNNNNNNNNNNNNNNNNNNNCCCCCCUUUCCUAGUUGGAAUAGGAUUCGCGGAGGGGGGAAAAGAGGAGAGAGAGGAGGAAGGGGGGCCGGCCCCCUCUCCUUGUCCUAUUCGGACCAAGGGGGGGGAGGGGCGCGCGGCCCAUCUCUGGCCACCUCUCCUCUCUUCCACUAAGGCCCACUAAGGCCCAUAUACUUCCCGGGGGGUUCCGGUAACCUCCCGGUACUCCGGUAAAAUCCCGAUUUCACCCGGAACACUUCCGAUAUCCAAACAUAGGCUUCCAAUAUAUCAAUCUUUAUGUCUCGACCAUUUCGAGACUCCUCGUCAUGUCCGUGAUCACAUCCGGGACUCCGAACAACCUUCGGUACAUCAAAAUGCAUAAACUCAUAAUAUAACUGUCAUCGUAACCUUAAGCGUGCGGACCCUACGGGUUCGAUAACAAUGUAGAUAUGACCGAGACACGUCUCCGGUCAAUAACCAAUAGCGGAACCUAGAUGCUCAUAUUGGCUCCUACAUAUUCUACGAAGAUCUUUUUAUCGGUCAGACCGCAUAACAACAUACGUUGUUCCCUUUGUCAUCGGUAUGUUACUUGCCCGAGAUUCGAUCGUCGGUAUCCCAUACCUAGUUCAAUCUCGUUACCGGCAAGUCUCUUUACUCGUUCCGUAAUACAUCAUCCUGCAACUAACUUCAUUAGUUGCAAUGCUUGCAAGGCUUGAGUGAUGUGCAUUACUGAGAGGGCCCAGAGAUACCUCUCCGACAAUCGGAGUGACAAAUCCUAAUCUCGAAAUACGCCAACCCAACAUGUACCUUUGGAGACACCUGUAGAGCUCCUUUAUAAUCACCCAGUUACGUUGUGACAUUUGGUAGCACACAAAGUGUUCCUCCGGCAAACGGGAGUUGCAUAAUCUCAUAGUCAUAGGAACAUGUAUAAGUCAUGAAGAAAGCAAUAGCAACAUAUUAAACGAUCGGGUGCUAAGCUAAUGGAAUGGGUCAUGUCAAUCAGAUCAUUCAACUAAUGAUGUGAUCCCGUUAAUCAAAUGACAACUCUUUGUCCAUGGUUAGGAAACAUAACCAUCUUUGAUUAACGAGCUAGUCAAGUAGAGGCAUACUAGUGACACUCUGUUUGUCUAUGUAUUCACACAUGUAUUAUGUUUCCGGUUAAUACAAUUCUAGCAUGAAUAAUAAACUUUUAUCAUGAUAUAAGGAAAUAAAUAAUAACUUUAUUAUUGCCUCUAGGGCAUAUUUCCUUCACUCCCAACACUUCUUCAACAAUAUAGUCCCCCAUGAAGUGCCAUUUUCGCUUGAACACUAUAGCCGGCAUCCCAUCCGGACCCAGAGCUUUUAGGUCCCCAAUGUGAUCUAAUGCCGCUUUCACCUCUUCGCGGGUAAAUACGACGUCCAAAGCAUUGAGCAUUGCAGCAGUGACACGCGGCUGCACCUUGUCAAUAAGUUCAUUGACCCGGUUGCCCACAGUGGACGUGAAAAGAUCCUGAAAGUAAGAGCAAACAUAGUUAGUUAAAUCUUCCUCCGCCACCACCGAACCAUCCUCCCACCUGAGCUCCUUGAUCUUAUUAGCUUUCUUUCUCACAGACGCCAUCAUAUGAAAGAAGCAAGUAUUCCUAUCCCCUUCCAGAAGCCACCACACAUGAGCCCUUUGUUUCCACAUUGUACUCUUCUUCUCCUCUAGAUCAUCCACCAAACACCGUAGGUUGGCUUCCUCCUCAAUCUUCUCCUGGGACACCAAAUUCUUCAUGCACCGCUCCAAAUCAGCCUUGGCCUUUCUCAGUCUACCUUCCAAUUCGCCAACUACCUCCUUGUCCCACUUCCUCAUCUUCCCGGCUAUUUCCUUCAGGGCAUGCGCUACUCCACCUUCCCUGCUUUCCCAACUCCUCUCCCACGCCUCCCUGGUCACCUCCUCGCACCCAUCUUCCCGCAACCAUCUGGCCUCAAACCGAAAGCCUCGGUCCCCUCGGUCCCCUCCUCUCCAACUCCUAUCACUCCCCUUCGUAUUGACAAUUAUGGGCCUAUGGUCGGAAUGUCUCGGCAUCCCAUUGACGACCACAUGCUCCAGGAACUUCUCUCGCCAAGGUUUACUAGCAGUCGCCCGGUCCAGCCUUUCACAGAUGUAUGUACUCAGCUCCUUGCUAUGGUUCCUCCACGUAAAGAUGUCACCCUCGAAACCCAAAUCAUCAAGUUCACAAAACUCCAACGCCUCUCGGAACCCAUCCAUCAUGCCCUGAGAACGAUCUGCUCCACCCACCUUCUCUAUACCAGACAGGAUUUCGUUAAAAUCUCCAAGGCAUAGCCACGGUCGAUCCUGCUGAUGUUGCUGCUUGAGAAGUCAUAGGGUUCUCCAUGUUUCUUUUUUCCUUUUUGUAGCCGACUCCCCAUAAACACCUGUCAAUCGCCAUAUUGAGCCAUCCUCUUCCUUCACGUCUACGUCAACAUGUCUCCUCCCAUAUGAACGAAGUGAAAUAUCGAGUCCCCGCCGCCAGAACAUUGCAACUCCCCGGCUACGAGCCACCGGGUUCCAGGCGGAUAAGUUAGCGAGCCCUAACUUCCACCGGAAUCGAUCCAACUCCUUCUCUGUGAGUCUCGUUUCCGCCAAAAACAGCACAUCGGGAUCCUCCGCCCUCCCCAACUCGAGGAGAGAUCGAACUGCCGGGCCGUUCCCGAGCCCCCGGCAGUUCCAACUGAUGAUUUUCAUUGUGCCCGGCGGGGCUGCUCGGACAGCCCGGCCGAUAUCUUGUCAACAUUAAUAUUGUUGUUUGUUGUUCCCUCCUUGCAUUCGCUCACAACCACUCCCCCUUCCAUCAGCUUCCCUCUCUUCGCUUCCUCCUCCACCCCUACCUCGUCCUUCUCAUGACAUCUCUUCUGUCCCAGUACAAGCUCGCUGCUAUGCCCUUUGCCCCUGUUACUUUCAUUCUUCCUAGGAAGCCGGUGGAACGUCCCCCCUUUUUAUGGUUUUGUUUUCCGCCCGCCUCCAUCCUGCCCUCAGUGGCCACCCGUGGCUGUGUUACUGGACCCUUCUCUUUUGCCUCCACUUUCUCCUUAGGGAGUGACACCUGUGAUUUCUCCCUCAGAUUGGCAUGCUGCUCAAGCAAGGCCACCUCUUUCCCCUGGGGCGUGUUAUCACAUGUGACCAGAACCUGUGCAGCAGCCUCAUUCAUAUUCAACCUCCUCGAUUUUCCACCAUGUGCAGGGUUGUUGGUCAACAACUUUGCAGGACUCGUGACUUCCUCUUCCCCCUCAGCUUUGCCUCCUUUCCCAUCUCCCUCCCGAGCGCCCUCCUUCCUCCAAGAUAAGCUGUCGCUGUCGCUGCCACUCCCCGAUCUUCCUCCCGCACGGCUAUACCCAUACUGCCGAAAACCUCCUGCACUACCUCCCCUUCCCUUCCAACUGCGGUCUUCCUCAUGUGCAAACCUCCUCUUCCCCAUAUCUGCUCUAAGCCAAGGGCCAAAUUGAGGGUCCUCACCUUUCUUCAUCUUGAUAGAGCACUCCUUGGCCACGUGUCCGAUGAAGCCGCAUGUGUAACAAAAGUCAGGCAAGAACUCAUAUUCGAAGCGGCACCAGAGACCUUCUUCCUCCUCUCCCUCCUUCCCAUCAAUACUCAUAUCCUUCUUUCUCUUCUGUGGUUCCUUCUCAUCCUCAUCAUCUAGGGUAAACCCUCUCAUGAUUGGCUUCUCUAUGUUCAUCCUGAUUUUCACCCGUAAGAAUUUGCCAAUUGCUCUCCCAUCCGCACCCGCAUCCACUUCAACAAAUCGCCCAAUGAUGUUGCCUAUUUCCUCCGUUGUGGCUUCAUUCAUCAUACCGAGAGGGAGACUGAAGAUUCUCACCCAUAUAGGGAUGUCAUUGAAGUCAUAGUCCUCUAUUCUCUUGCUUGGAUCAUAGUCCUCCACCACAACAAGAUCCUUAUCAAACAUCCACGGCCCGUCCUCAAGUGCCUUCCGCUUACCAGACUCCUGUUUAAAUGUGAACACAAACCUGUUAUCCCCCGCCUCCUUGCAGUCAAUUCCUUUUAUCGGGCACCAGAUCCGCCCCAAGGAGAGGCAGAUCGCAUCUGGAUGAGCCGGCUUCUCGGACACCACUCUCCCCACCGCCUGAAACUCCGAUCCCUUCCCUUUUUCCUUUCCCCCCAGCCGGAUCUUGACCCCUUUCCUCUCUUCCUCUGACAGCUUGAGACUCCUCAACAUCCCUGCUACUCCCUCCAUCUACCUCCUGUCGGCCAAUGGCCGCCGCCGGGCACCUCCUAGGGUUUUGGUGUCUUACGACCGUGCGCCCUAGGGAGCACACAGAAGGUUUUGGUGGAGGGGUUACGACGAGGCUCGCUUGGAUGCGAUAGACGAACAAAAUCGAUCAAGGUCAGGGAGAUGGCGAUCGAUCACAAACGAGAGCUAUGGGUGAGGAAGUACGUCCGAAACCCUAAUCGCCUCCGCAAUCGACGGAGCGAUACGCGAACCGCCACCAGGUGGGAUGGACCAUCGCGAAGGCAAAGCUUUGAUUGCUAGCUGCUAGGCGGAAAUCAUUUUUUUGUGGGGUACACUUGUUUUUGCUUUCUUGGAUUGCAUUAAGGGUCACACGGGGUAGAUCUUGGCACGAAGUAGGUGAUCUUCUUGACUUCGCAAACUACUGGGUUUUUCAAGUGAUCCUAACCAUAUAGAAGGCACACAUCCUCUAAAGUAACCAGAACCUUUACAAGUCACUUGGUUUGAGCCCUCAUUAGAGAGAAGAACCAUAGAUCUCUCUCUCUCUCUCUCUCUCUCUCUCUCUCGCGCGCGCGCGCGUGCUCAAGGAAUCCACGCAAGGAUGGAGUGGAGCAAAGAGAGUGAGCACAGUGAAUUGAAUGGGUUCCCUGUCUGCCAAGGGUCUCAAAAGCCUCACCCUCUCAAGCGGUGGGGUUUGGUUAUAUAGGCAGGCCUCAAUCUGACCGUUGGACGAAAAAAGCAACGUCCCCAAAAGUUUCAUACAUGUUCAAACCUUGAAUGGUCCGGCAGGAAAAUGGCUCCCGAAAGAAUAGCAGUAACACCCUGAGGUACUAAGCGGUCCAGAGACCUCUAGAACCACGGUUAGCAUAAUGGUACCGAACAUGAACACUCAAGGUUUCAUACAACAACUGCAUGUCUCUUUCUAUGACAAAGAUACAUCACUCGGUAGUACAAGACUAGUUUCUCUUAGAAGUUCCAGAUCUAAAAGGGCACCACGUGAAAUGGACGGACUGGAAACAUCUAAGCCCAUGUUCUACACCAAUACCACUCGGAUGUUUUGGACCGAUACUGGAACUGCUCUGCAACAACCCUUUCAGAAUCAGAGAUAUUGGACACCAUCCAUCCGGAGGUAUCACCCUUAAUACAACACUGUCUGAACCAAACAAGAGUCCAGUAGUUAUAGGAACCAAACUCGAUAGUUCCAGAUAUACACUUAGGAUUUCUCACCAGCUCUGUUCUCACUAGGAUUAGAGGUAUGUGCCGAUUGGUUCUUAGGAUUUCUCACUAGCUCUAUUCUUACUAGGAUCAUAGGUAUGUGCCGAUUGGUAUGAUAGUUUCAGAGAUGUAUGCAAUAUGGAGAACCGGGAAUUUUUCAUUGGAAAGUUUGAGGGAUAUAUUGCAUGUUUGGCAAUGUGAUCAUCCUUAAUUUAAGUGCAAGUGCCCCUCUUUAUAGUACGAUUGUUCAAAAGACUCGAUGUGGAAAUUGUUCCACUACAAGCCUAUAAUAAUUUGUAACUACAACUUGUCUUCAUGUUUCUCGUUUUUAGGGGUCACCAUUGAUUCUUUUUAACUAACACAUGGACUAAAUCUGAAAUAUCUCAAUAAAAACAUUAGUCUUGUAUUUAUCUCAUCAUUAAUCAAUCAGAACCCAUUAGAAAUUCUAGGUGCACUUUCACAUAUCAGUAGGUUGACCUUACAUGUGACCGAACCUGAACUUUGUCGGUGUACGACAACCUUACAAGGCCCCCGCACACACUCCACACUUAUAUUUCAUCACAAUCCCUAACCAUCAACACCCUUUAAUAUCUAGGUGUCUCAAUUACGACAACAAAGUUGGGCCUAUGUGGUAAUCACUGAAAGAAUGUUACAUCAUAAAUGUUUUAUCAUUCUCCGACCACAUUGUGAACAUUCAAUGUAAUGUAGUCCCGUCACUUUGUUUUGCAUUAUAAUGAUUUUUAAAGAUGAUAAAGUCAAUAAACACUAGUAGUGUUGCCUUAACCUUGAUCGGUCUACUGCCCUAAAAUUGUUAUUUGGGUUUUUGUCUCUACAUCUUUAACAAAUAAUGUGGCUCAAAAACUAAGUUUACAUAGGCUUACAUCAAUAUAUAUCCUUAGCAGCUUCCUUAUGGGACAUCUUUCUACGGCACAGGAGAAGCAAGUGGCCCACUUGAACGAACCGGGAAACGAGUAAGCAUGAUAUAUGUUGUUAUGUUUUAUGUUGCUAAUUUCUUAGCUAAUAUUUGAUUGGCCUCUCAUUGUAUCUCUCUUUGAUCUCCAUUAGGUUUUCACCUGGAACACAGAUGCAUGGGGAUACGGGUCAGGAACCACUUCACUAUAUCAAUCACACCCUUGGGUGUUGUCCAUCCUCCCAGAUGGAAAGAGCCUCGGUGUCCUAGCUGAUACCACACGCCGUUGUGAGGUAGUAACUUUAUUUAACUUUUCCAACACACCUGUCUAGAAGAUCAAUUGUUUAAGUAAUUCUCGAUCACGAAACAUAUGAAAUUUGUUGUUUGUGAUAAUAUUUUUCUAUAUAAUAGUAGCUAACACGGUCCAAUUCCAUUGGCUAUUUCUUCAGUAUUGCACCUUAUAGUCAUAGCUAGGUACAUCCUACAUAUAUAGGAGAUGUAUGUUUUCAUUGAGCCGAUGGGCGUUUCUUUAACCAACAACCGUAUUCUAUUACAGAUUGACUUGAGACAAGAAUCUACUAUAAAGUUUGCUGCCCUAUCUGCUUAUCCUAUCAUUACUUUUGGGCCAUUUGAUACACCGGCCCAAGUGGUGGCAUCCUUGUCUCAUGCGAUUGGUAUUUUUUUCUCAUAACAUCUCUUCCAGUAUUGAUAUCUAGUGUUCACACUCUUGAAAUUCUAAAACGUAAAAUAUGUUUGUCAAAUUUUAAUCUUGUACAUACUAUAUACAGUGAAGUUGCAUAUACCUGCCUUGUAUGAGAACACGUUUCUCUCAUUUGGAAUAUCUAAUUCUAUUAUGAUUAAUUUGCAAUCUAGUUAAUGUUAUUGUACAUGUUUAACAAAAUAUUUGUCUCUCAAUUCAUCUAUGGUUCGAGAUUCAAGGCAUUUAAAGAGAGCUUUGUAUCUUGAGCAAUGAUGUUGUGCAAAAUUUUAGUGUCACAAUAGGGUGUUCAUGUCUGGAUAUUUGCUAUGUUAUCGUGCCUGGAGUUUUUUUAUUCUACGAACAAUCAUGACCUGUAUAAGAGUGACUAAGACAACAUCUUGCUUCUUCUUCGUGACUACAUCCAUGUCCAAUUGGCCAUGAGAAGAACACAAAAUUGCAACUUAGAUGCUAAUAUAUGUUAUGUAACCUGUUGUCCACUUAAUGCACACACCUUUUCUAUUAUAGGAACUGUGUCCAUGCCUUCAAAAUGGGCUCUCGGCUAUCAUCAAUGUCGCUUUAGCUACAAGUCUUCUGAGAGAGUCCUUGAGGUAUCUUGUAAAGGAAGUAUAUGCUGCAUCAAUUCGUUCACUUUACUUAUGAUGAAUAGAGCGGCAGUUUGUUAGAGCAAUUUUAGUUCAGUAUGUUAUUGUGUAAGCUAGUGUGUAAUUUGUUCAAGAAAUUCAAGUUUACUAUGUUACACGUAAUCUAAAAAAAGGCUAAUAUGAACUAAGAUCAUCACCAACAGUUGCCCUACCCCGUAUUUUUUUUUUUCUAAUUUAAGGGGAGUUGGGCCGAAAAACAUGCUCUAGCAGUUCUCAUAAAUCAUCAAUCUGAAUUUUUUUUAUGAAACACCCUAUAAUCAGCCCAACUCCCCAAGGGAGAAUGAGCUUCCUGUAUAAUUUUCCCUAAACGUGGCGGGAUUCGAAGAGUCACGGCGGGGUGGUUUUACCUCUUUUCCCCUCUCGCGGCGCUCCCGCGAGCGCCCCAAGGGGAACCCUAAAUCGCCGCCCCCUCCUCCCCAUCCUUUGCCCGCCUCCCUCGCCGCCGCCUAGCGGGGCCGCCGGGCGAAGCCCGGCCGGCUGGGGCGGCGGCGGGGCCUUCUUCUCCCCUCCGCCUGUGGUCCAUGGCCGGCGCAGGACGGCUUCGCGUGCGGGGGCGCUGGCCUAUGGCGGGGGCGAGCGGCGCGGCGGCGAUCCGUCGGGAUGGCGUCGGAGGUCCCUGGUGGCGGCUCGGCGACGUCUUGAUGGGUGCUUGCGGCGUGGCGGCUACGGCAGGGCCAGACCGGGCGGUGGCGGGCCGGCGCGCUCCUGGCCAGAUCCUUGCGGAUUUGGUCCCCGGUGGCGGCGGGCGUCGCGGGGUGGCGGCAGAGGUCCUCCUGGGACCUGCGUGCAGGUGGCUUGCAGCGGCGUGGCUGCAGCCCGUGGUCGACCGGUCUGCUCGCGGCACCGGCGGGUCUUGCUCCGGCGUGUGGUUGUCUGCGGCUUUCUCGGGUGAGCUUCCUUCCUCCCCUACGGACUCAGGGACGGGCGCAACAGGCAGGGGUGGUUCCAUGGUGAGGUGUUGGUGUGCCGGUGGGCUUGCCGGAGGUGGCUGUGGACUUCGGGUAGGGGGCAGGGGUUCCCCUCCAUUGCAUCUGGCGGCUGCUCCGUGGCCGCCGGAGUUCCUCUGGCCCAGAUCUGGCCGCCGAGGCCACCAACCCUGCCAAGGUUUCCGCUUUGGGGUGGAAAGUCUGCUCCUCUCCGGUCGGUCGUGUCGGUACUGUGUGUCCGUGGUCGAGGAUGGGGCUCGGAUGCUUGGGCGGCGGUCCUGCUGGUGGGAGCCGGGGUGCUUGUGGGCGUAGCACGCGGCUCGGGCGCUGUCCGGUCACCAUGGCCGUGUGGGCGGCAUGGUGGCCGGGGUGUGUCAAUGGUGGUGGCGCGGCUGUCCGUACCCCAAUUUGGUGAAGGUGAGUGUUGGCCAGGGUGAAAACCCGCUCUGUCUUGUCAGGCCGGCGAUGGCGGCGUUCCAGCGUCGUUCCCUUCUUGAAGGCGUCGUCGCGGUAUCUCGCUUGUAACUGAGGUGCUCCGGGGGAAACCCUAAUCCUUAGAUUGGGCGGUGGCGGCGAUCCGGCGUCGUUCCUUUCUUGAAGGCACCGCCUUGGAGCCCAUUGUUCAUCAUGCACGGCUUCUCCUCAUCGUGGUGCUUCUUCCACGGUUGAGGGCUCCGACAACUUCAUAGUAGUGCUUAGGGUGUUAUCCGUUGUUUGCUUGGAGUAGUUUGGGGUGAUGUUGCUGUUUUCAGCGUCCUUGUAUCCGCCUUGGGUGUGUGUGUUGUGUUGGUGUGGGGUGUGUGUUUGUAUCGACUUGCUCGGUGAUUGGUGCUUUAUUUAUAAAGCGGGGGGAAACCCUUUUUCUCAAACGUGGCAGGAGUCAACUGCUGAAAAAUCAGCUCCCGCGCACGCCCGUCUCCUCACGCCGUCGGCCAUCUACAUCGUGCCGCCGCCCGGGGCUGUCCCCCCACCGAGUGUCGCUGAUCAGCGCGUCCCUGCAAUGGCCCGACUCCUGCCUCUCAACGGCCGACGACCAACAGCCGCUACUUGUGCCACCCCAUGCCAGUCGGCUUCUUCUCAUCGUCGGCAGCCGCCCGUCCCCCUCCCCGCUUCAGCCAACCUCCUCCCGUGUGUGAUCAUUGUUGCUUCACCGGACCUUCCUCUCAUUGUCGGUCGACCAUUAUUUUCUUUUGUUCCCAAGGUGUUUAAUUAUUUUCUCAUCCAAUUUUUUUACGUAUCAAAGAAUUCCCCCUUUUUUUAAACACGGUACAGACGCAAGCGCUCAUACAUAUGCGCAUACCCUCACCCCUAUGAACGCACAUAUGCACACCCUACCUCUAUGAGCACCUUCGACUGAGCCGACAUACCAUUUUGAGAUUUACGACGUCACCGUAGGCGCCUCGUCAUCGACGGAAACGUCUCCUCCCACUGAAAGCGUAUCAUCGGAAAACCUGAAAUUAAUUCAGAAAUAAUGCGAGCACCAGGAUUUCAAUCCUGAUGAGCUGGGGAUACCACUGUCCCUCUAAUCAUCCAACCACAGGAAUUGUGUGAUUUUGCCUUAUAGAUGAAUUACUAUUUGAUAGAAUUGACAUGCAUAUGCCAUUUAUACAUUAAUUUGAAGAUAAAUGGGAAAACCAGAUUAUAUGGAAAUAUUUUUAUGAGACUGCAAAAGCAGCUCAUCGUGUCAACCACCCCUAAAUUAUAUGGACACCCCGUAAAAUCAUAUUUAAGAAGAGUUCUUUUAUGAAACUGACAACCAACAACUCACCCUAUCUAUAUCUAUACCUAAUAAUAAAGUCAUUAGCGCUUCUCGCGGUAUGUCACAUAAAUUGCUCCUAAAAUUACAAAAUAUUACCCACCGAUGGCACCUAUAAAUGACAAAAAAGGUUCCACACAAGGAAUCCCUCGCCUAGGCCGGCCCAAGGAGUAGGGAUCCCUAUACUGCGCUCUGCAUGCUAGGAGAAGACGCAGCGUACCCAUUUGGGCUGGCCAUGUGCGGGCAGCCUGUUUUUAAAUUUCUUUUUUUAUUUUUUAUUUUCCAUUUUCGUUUUUUCUCCUAUAAAUAAUUUGCUACUUCAAAAAAGUUUCAAAAAUUUUAAGAAAGAGAUUUUCAAGUAAAAUGUUCAAUAAAUCAUAAAAUAUUUGUGGAUUAAGAAAAUAUUUGUAUUUUUUCUUAAAAUGUUCACAUAUUACAAAAAUGUUUGCAAUUUUGUAAAACAAUGUUAGGAAAUAAAAAAAAGUUCAUGAUUUUUAUAAAAGUUCGUGUAUUAAAAAAUGUUAAUUAAAUUGAACAAAAUGUUCAUCAAAAUUUUAUCGGUGAUGCGAAAGAGUGUUGUCAUGGCCUUUGAAAUUAUGAUUUUUGUUUUUUUGAUUACAACGCACGGACCCUUUUGCUAGUGGACUCUAGAAAAAGUGUCUCGUUACAGCCGCUUGGGUAAGAUGAAUCGCACACAGCCGCUGUCUAGCAUUUGGUAAAUUUUAGUUCAAAAGAAGCAUCGAAAAGUGAGGUCUACUUUAUGUUUAUUUUAAAUCUAACGGACAAAUAAAUCACAAAUGGAGUUAAGCAUUUUUAACUUAGUCAUAUUCAAGUGACAAGUUUUUUUUAGCAUCAGUACAGACACAAGCGCUCAUAUACACGCGCAUACACUCACCCCUAUGAACGUACACACGCACACCCUACCCCUAUGAGCACCUCCGAGAGACUGAGCCGGCAUAUCAUCUUAAGAUUUACGAAGUCCCCGUAGGCGCCUCGUCGUCGACGGGAACGUCUCCUCCCACUGAAAGCGCAUCGCCGGAAAUCCUGAAAUAAAUCAACCCUGGUGGGUUGGAGAUACCACUGUCCACCUAACAACUCAACAA
This 52629-nucleotide long non-coding RNA is filed under the name Triticum aestivum (bread wheat). Its description in RNAcentral is "long non-coding RNA (TAES_LNC014226)". The record is from RNAcentral. Lineage: Eukaryota; Viridiplantae; Streptophyta; Magnoliopsida; Poales; Poaceae.